GCUCCGCCACGCCGCCGCCCUAGCUGCCGGCCCUGACCUCUUCUCCCCUCCGCCCUCCUCGCUGCCAGUCCUCCUCCACUUUGCCCCGUCGCCGCUGCCAGUCCUAGAUCCGCCGCUGCAAUUCACCGCCGGUCCCCUCGACGCGAUUCGCCCCAAUCCCGAAACCGUUCGAAGAUGCCGAAGGCCAGCAGGCGGCGCAUGAGGAGGGAUCCGGGGAAGGAGAGGGAAGCGAAGAAGAGAAGCCUGGCAGAGGAUCGGACGGUGAUGUUCGCGGCUUUUGAGAAUGAAAAAAUCCAAUCCGAAGCAAAAUUAGGUAUGUAGCCAACCUCCACAUAAUUUUCCUCCUCAUCACGGCAUGAGUAGUAUUGCUGCCAUACCCUUGUUGUUUACUUGGUUGAUAGAACUCAAAUCUCUAACUCUAUAUUAGUUCCCGGUCUUGCAUGGCUUGUAAUUUACUGCGACGAGUUAAAAUUCUUCUCUUUUUUGGAAAUAGAGAAAAAAUUCUGUAAUCAUUCAUCUGUCUGUGAGUUACAUUUUAGUGUUUUACUUUGUUCAGAUCUGCUAUGCCAUGAGCUAUCUUCCACUGUUUCAGUCUAUAUUAGUCAUUGCGUGAUGUCUCUUUAUUUUGAGUACUUCGUCAUGUCUCUCUCCCAGUCCUGACUCACUUGCUUCUACCCAAACCUUGAUGUAUGCUAGUCAUGCAUGAUGCUAGUUCUACUUUUUAUAGCAUCAGUAAUAGGUGUUUGAGUUGCAAUUUGGUCAGGGUUUGCAUUCAUAUUGCUAGGAAAUCAGUUUAGUUGCUUUUGCAUCAAACCCUUGUUCUUUUUUCGAUCUCUCUAGCUUAGGAAAUUAUUUGCACUAGUAUAGUUGAUCCCUGUGGAAUACGACAACCCUGCUUAUCAUUUUUCUUACAUCAAUUUUGGUGCUGUAGAUCGUGUGUACGACAAUGUGGUUGAGUCCUCAAUGGAGGAAUCCUCCAAUCCACCCAGCCCUCUGCUCCACAGGCCCUACAUCCCCGACGAGCUAGCUGACAGGGCGGACGUACGUGCCGCCUUCCAGAAUGCCAUGUUACAAUUCGAAGCAGACAUAAGUCGGGUCCCCUCCCUCUAGCUUGAUCCCGCUUUUCAUCGUUAUCAUCAUAGCUAAUUUUAUAUAUGCAGAUCGUCGGUCUGAUCUCUUCACCUUGGAUCGCUACUAUACUCGUUCCUGCCUGACCAAGGACCGACGCCUUCUUCACAUCCGCGAGUCUGCAAAGGAUGCCGUGCUUCUUGCCGCCAACUCCGUCAUCAGCCUCUCGUCCUAUCUCGGUAUGAACACAUGUAACUAAACAUAUAAUUAAUAUUUUCUAGCACAUCUGCCGAGCUAGUGUUGCGACUUUCGGUUUGCUUUCCUUGCAGACGAUGAGCCGCUGAAUAAGUGCUGUGGUUUGUGGAUUCAACGGGACGACAAGGAGAAAACCGCCAUUGUUUUGACGUCCGCGCAUCUCAUUCGGGCAAAUCGCACAACGGAUCCCAAGAAGCUGAACAAGUGGUUGUUCGAGUGGACAGGCAAAUAUCAUCGUGAUGCUAGCGUGAGCUUCUUAACAUUAAUUCACUAUUGUAUUAUCUAUCUUCUUCAUGCGCUAGUCUUUGUUUCUUUCUUUCUUUGUUUCGGGUGUGUUUGAGAGGGCUCCACUCCAGCUAAACUCCACUUCACCUCUAAACUCCACUUCAUUUUCACUCCACUUCACCAACUAAAUGUGUUUGGCUCUCAAGCUAGCUCCAGAUUCAUGAUGGCCUUAACCGUACGGGAACAGAUCUGUUCUUCCACACUCAAAUCAAUCAAGCUAAUCAACCAAGGACGUCUCAAUCAAUCAACUGUGAAACCUGCUACCUUCGUUGCUAUGUCGUCUCAGUGGAGAAAAGGGUGGCUGAGGCAGCAACGUCCUGCUGAACUGCUGAAGUGCAGAGAGCGGCAGCAUCAGCGAGUUCUACUGGAUGCGGUUGCGGCAGACCUGCGACGGGGCAUAGGCCUGUAAGCUCUCCUUGAGUUUUGCUGGAGGACCACGACGAUAUCUGCUUCAGUAGGGGCGGAGGUGGCGCCUUGGUCGUGCUGGUGCAGGGGACUCGGCUCCUUGGGGGUUGUGGAGGUGGGGGGCGGGCCUCGCCGGAGAUAGAGCGCCGGCUCACUGGAGGAUGAGCAUGCCUCGCCUGCGGCCGGGUGCGCCGCUACGGGGAGACAGGAGGAAGAGGAGUCACGUACGAGAGGAAGAGGAGGAGUCAGGGAGGUUCUGUUCGCGUAGAUAACGGUUCAGGGUUAAUGAGUGGCAUUGGUGGGCAAAUUACCCCAGCUUUAGGUGAAGUGAAGCAGGUUAAAAACCUCUUUCUUGACUCCAGUGAAAUGAACUAGAGGGCUGUACUGCUCCACUUCACCUAACAUAUGGAGUUUGGGGUGUUUGGGACAACUUCACCCACUACACAGGUGAAGUUGUGAAGUGGAGUAGUCCCAAACAGGCUCUUCGUCUCAAAAUUUAAUUAUUUGUAAUGCCUCAGUGGGCAUCUGGUUAGCAAUUAAAAGUGUUAUCUCUUCAAUUUCCGUAGAAGACUUGAUUUGGUGCGGUGUUCGUUUUUUCUGAUAGUUAAUCUCUUAAAAAUGGUUUUGCCAAAUACUAUGAAUUUUUUCUCGGAAUCAUAGUGUCAUAAUUUUUGCGGUUGUCUUUCCAGGUCACUGUUCACUUUCUGGAUGGCACAACUGCAUUAGCCAAUCUCAUCUACCUCCAGGAGCACUACGAAUUUGCUCUUUACGAGGUUGUAGUGGACAAACCAGUUCAACUGUCCACUUUUAAUGACAAUGUGCAUUCUGGUCAAGAUGUUCUCCGACUUGGAAGAGAUGAAAGUCUUGAUCUAAGCAUAACCCAUGGUAGGGUGCAUUAUAGGAUUCCAUCCAGUUAUGAGAGAUGCCACUACAUGUAUUUUAGCCACGAUGGACCAGAUGUAUGUACUAUUGUACUAUUUAAUUCUAACUUUAUGUUUUGUUUUUCGAUCUUAAUAUCUUGUUAGUAUAAAUUAUAAUGUUUGUUAUUGUCACUAUGUUGUAGUUAGUUCAUGAUGACGGAGGCCCUGUCAUUGACUUAGAAGGGAAAGUUGUGGGAAUGGUUCACAAUCAAUGCGUAGAGUCGUUUUUACCUUCUUCUAUAUUGCACAAGUGCUUGGAUUUGUGGAGGAAGUUGAAGUACGAUCUUUAUUGUCAAUUCAUUUUUCUACUGCUUUUGAUUACACUAACGCAUUCUCUUAUAUAUGUUACCUCAUUCAUUUCAAUUGAACAACUACAAAAUUAUGUUUAGAUUGUGAUUGCUUAGCAAUUAUUACGUUUGAAUGAAUUGCUAAAUUGUGAUUUAGAAGAAUCAUUACGUGAGGCCUAGGUGCCAAAAUGUGUGUAAGAUUAUAUAGAGAAAAUGUGUGUUGGUCACCUUAUCGAACUCUGCAUGUUUUCCAAACUAUUCCUAUCCAGUGUGUAGGAACUAAAUUUGGUGUAAAUAUUCAGUUUUUCUACUUGGUGAUCUAUUUUCCUGGCUUAAUCCUCUUUUGAGCACGGCAUGAACUAAUGUCUUGUUAUGGUAUUAAUUCUAUAAUAAUGUUCUUGCCUAUGUUUUGUGUGAUACUUAUUUGAUAUUGAUUCUAAUAAAAUAUGUUGUUUUAUUUAACAUAAGUCUGUAAAACGAUUACAGUCUUAAUGAUUAUAUUUUGUGUAGGUGCGUCCCUCGUCCCCACCCUGGAAUGACCUUUAUUUCCAUCAAGCUUCUAGAUCCUAUUUGUACUGAGAGGAUGAGGCGUAAGCAUAACAUUCAGUCUGGUCUUAUUGUUGAAGCGGUAAUGUUUAACAUUAUUUAUUUUUACAUUGUAUUAGUUUUCCCUAAAAAAAAUCCUCAUAUGCAAAUUCUGGUUUAAUCAUGAUCAAUUAAAUAUUAGGUGUCAAAAGAAUCGAAUGCUGAGAAACUUGGAAUCCGCAGGGGUGAUAUUAUUGAAAGUUUCAACGGAGUGUAUAUUUCUACUACAAUUGAGGUAGGUAGUAAAUUGGAAAAGGAGUAUAUAUAUAGGCAGGGAAUGGAGAGUAUAUUCCUACUACACUUUAUGCUCUUGGCUUUUGUAACUUGUCAGUUGGAAAAGAUGUUGCUGGACAUAGGCGGGGAACAUUUUCAUCAAGCAAAAGUCUUAGAUGCCGAAGUAGAUAUUCGAGUAAGUUACUAUUAUGUUUUAACUAUGGAUUACUUAAAUUUAUGUCGACCAUAGCACUUUGAAAUAAUAUUGUUGACUUUACAGAUUCAAAUAUUUCGUGCCACGGAACUUUGCCGAAGAGCUAGAAACUUGACUGUAAUUGUAUCUGAUUGUGGAGAAGACAUCAUAGAAGGUAAACAUCUUUUUUAACGUAGCAGUUGAUUUUUGCUGUGAAUCUAAGUUAUCGUAUUUCCCUCUUGUGUAGAUUCAAUCUAUCUUGUUCACCAAUUGCCCUGAGCCUUUAUUUUAUAUGUGGUGUGUUUAAUCGAACCUUGAUGUUUUUUAUUUGUGUAGGCACUUACCCUAUCACUGUUGGCUUUGGAAAAGAGAUCAACUGAUUCUUUCAUGGAGCCAAUGGCACUUGCCCUAUCCAUGGUGGUGGCAGUACCACUGAUUGGGUAAGUGCCAAAGGCCCUCGACAACCAGAGCCUGUCGCUGUCUGCCGUCAUCGAUGACCGGACCCUGCCGCUGUCUGCCUGUCUUUGUAUGCUGCUACCAGUGAACUUCGUGCUGCUAUUUUGCUGUCUUCGUAUGCUGCUGCCACUGAACUGAACUUUAAUGUAUGGUUGCGUUGCUUAUGUGGACUUGCGUGCUUAUGUGGACUUAAUUUCGCUUUUCUGAAACUUCAGAACUUGUGAGUUCAGAAUUGAGUAUUAUAGAUGAGUUAUGUUAAUUGUCACCUGUUUUGCGUUGUUAUGCUGUUGAAAUUUCUGCUGAAUAUGUCUACUGUGUAUGUGCUUAACAGAAAUUUCAGUAUAAACUGAAAACCGAAACCGCAUCUUCGGUUUUGCUGAUUCAGUAACCAAUUUCAGGUACCUGUGCUGCUAACCGUAAUAAGAAAAAACAGAAUUUUCGGUUUUAACCGAAUGCCCAGCCCUACCCGUGGGGCUGGUAUUUAUAGGCUAUGUGUCCACAACCAAUGACCAUGGCUACCAUUGGUGGUGGAGAAAACGGAGGGCAAAAUGAGAAAAAAAAAAAAUCUUGGUCCAUUGCUUUAUGGUGCACUAAGUGGGAAAAGAGGGCAUUUGCCUCAUCCUUCCAUUUAGGGUGGGCGUAAAAAACCGGAACCAAAAACUGAACCAGAAUUAAUCGAAACCAAAUUAAUCGAUAAUAAAUUUGGUGGCUAAGUGUGAUUCGGUUAUUAACCUCGUUUGACGGAAUAAACCGGAUUAAUGAAAAAUAGUCUAAAACAUACACAGUUACACAUUGUAUGAAGUGAUUCUGAAUUUUGAUGUAAUUUUCAAGGCUUCACGACCUUCGGUUAUGUCAAAGUUUCUUUGUAUGAGACUUCGAGCCAUAGUCUUCAAUUAUUCUAUCAUUUUAAUUGACUUUUAGUGGAUUUAUAAUGAUUUCGUAAUUCUCUAAAUUUAACUCUGCAAGAAAGCUAAAAAAAAACUCUGCAAAACAGAUUUGUUUGUUUUUAGUGUUUUUAACUUUCAGGUACCAACUAGAGGUUUCUCGGCAAAAACUCCUACACCGGUCCGGUGCCCUUCCAUUUCACGCAACAUCGUUGUCACUUGUCACCGGCGUGAAAUUAGCCGUGUGCGACAUCUAAAAGCUGCUUAUUAGCUUUCUCAUCCCACUAGUAGAAUUGCACGUGCAAUGCACGUCUCGAUUAAUAUAAAUUCAAUUAGGUGUAUUACAAGCACACACACAGAAAAAAUAAAUCAAAAACUCGUCAUAACACCCAACACAUAGUAAUUAGCUUAAAUACUGAGAAACAUUGACAUAAAACUUAAGUCAUAUUAGCCUAAACCAUUAAAUCAAUUGGUCACACAGAAGUCAAAUGAAUCAAUUAAACAAGGAAAAGAUACCCCAACAUUGUUACUUGCCUUGCUAUUGCUGCUCAUCUCACUCAAAUGUUAUGUUUACAAAUGAUGCUAACCGUAUUGCUCAAAUAUCCCCUGUGAAGACCGAUCAAAUUUUAGUCAAUGGACACUUCUCGCUGCUUUAACAGAGUGGCUUCUCCUGUACUUCAUUCUCAUAUGCUUUCUUCAAGUCCUCUGAAGUUACAGGUGUUGGAACAUAUACAUUCAAGCUUGAAAUCUCCCAUAUUGCAUCAAAAUACAAGGCAUUAUCCAUGAUCUUACACAACAUCAGGAUAUACCCAAGAGAAAACAUGUACGAAAGGGAAGUACCGCCCUACCAAAGCUUCUAAUUUUGUAGUGCUGCCAGGGCGUAGAUUCUUUUCCAGCACUGGCCAACCAAAGAGCAACAAUAACAGCCUAAGAAAAAACAUGUUUACUCGAUAGCAGUCCUCUGUAAAUAGAAACAGAAAGCUAUGACUGUAAAAAGUAAAAACUCAUGUAUUUCUACACUUUAGUCUUUAGUUGUAUCCAUGGCUUUAAACUCCACGACGUAUGCAAAACUGAUUGCUCAAGAAAUCCCUUCAGAAUCUAGAAAAAACAUCCUAAGCAUGCUAUAAACACGAAGAAUAAUUUCUUGGCAUGUUUGCAACUGAAAAUAGACAUCAUCAGGCCUAGAUAAACACUCAAUUCAAAAUUACGCAGAUGGCAAAUACCUAGGAAAUAAAUUUAAUGAAGAUUGUUACUUCGUCAAUAAGCUGUCCAUUCAGAAAAUCGACAAGCAUCAGACAACCCAGGACCUGCAAAUCAUCAUUCAUUUCUGAUCAAGAAGAGUGCAAACAAUACUUAGCGUGCUUGUUGCCAGUAAUGGCCUGACAAGAAUGAUUCAAUCAAUCUAUUAGCCAAGAUUAGUCCUGAAUGCAUUACUGGAUGAACAGAAAGGUUGCACUUAUGUAUGCUCCUUGCAUGAACGCAGAAGUUUCCUAUAGAUGCAUGGUGGAGAACAACUUUGGCUAAGGUGAAAGUCUCAUUAGUACAAAUUCGGAGUAAAAUUACUCAGAUAGGAAUCUUGUCAUCUUGCCACAGUAAAAAAGAACAAAAAUUCUUGCAUGUUUAAUAUGUGAUAUCGUAAAAAGAAAUAUAUGAAGUGCAGAAAAUCAUAUAUGAUUACCAUAAAUUGGCCCAGCUGAAAAUUCAGGGGAGACCAUUAUCUAACAAGCCAGGCUUCAAGCCGAUAUCCCUGUGUAGAAAUAUUCAUCCUGGUGCUACACUUAAGAACCAAGGUCAGGAAUGAAAUGACCCCAUGAUGAAAAGGUUAUAGCAGCGUUCUGGUGUUCAAUAACAAUUGUUUGUUGCUAGGAAUCGGCAGGAAUAACAACAGAAAGCGAACAAUGAGCUAGAAAGCAGUACUUCAGCCUUGGGUAAAAUAAAGUAAUUAAACAAAAUAAUUGGUGAUAGUGAGUGGAUGAUUGAAUGCAUUGCAUUAUUAACAACUCAUAAUAUUAUCUAGUAAAUUGUUAAAGAGCACAUAAACAGGCAGGAUUAUAGUAAUGCCUGAAAGCAAAAGAAAGAACCUUGGUUUAAGAGCCUGGUAUAGAAGGGAAGAACUUGAAGGAACGGGGCAUUUUUUUGCCUCGCGGCAAGCAACUCAGCCAUAUAUCUGGCGGACAAAAAAGCAUUACUGUAUUAGUAUAACACAAGUCACUCUAACUCUAUUGUUUUUUUUUGACCGGGUCUCUAACUCUAUUGUUGUUUGUACAAAUAGAACUGUAAGCUGAAGAGUAAAAAUACUCUACUUAUAUCAUUCUAAGAUUAAUUUUCUGAAGAUGACUCCCCUGCAACCCACUUUAUUGACACUCAAUUAAGAGAUGUGUGGCAUAUACAUAAGAAAAUUAACACAAAAUUACAGAAGGGUACAUCCAAGCUAAUUGAAUUACUACUCACAAAAGAACUACUAGCUCUUUCUAUGUAUUAACAAUUGUUUGUAUCCAGUUUGUUCUAACCUGUAAUAUGCCAUGAAACAAACUUAUCGUGGUCUACCUCGAGAAUAAGAUUAAACAGAUUCCAACUAACUUAAGAAAGAGAAAGGUAUAUGCCUCCUUGGUAAAUCUGAUAGGAAUUGCUUUGCAUUACUAUAUUGUCGGAGAAAUCAAUGGUUUGAAGUCAAAAUGAUUGAUCGGUUCAGAGAUAUACCUUUUUAUUCACAUGAGUAUCAUCAUGAGAUUCAUAGAACACCUUGUUGGUAGUCAGCAUGAAGAAAGUAAGUGCUGCCAUCCUGUGCAUUUGUAACUGAUCAAAAUGGAGGGGGGGGGGGGGGGGUGAAAAACAACAACUGCACAUGGGAUUUGAAUGACAUGGCUGAAUUUGUUUUCGCCAACUCCAUCUCUAGGUGCAAUAACAAUCAGUCAAGGGGCCUCGUCUAAGAGCAUAUAAGAGACAAUAUAAAUACCAUAAUUUGGCAGACAUACCUGUAAAAGAUAAUACGUUCAGGAUCAUGUUUCAAUCAUGUUCCCUGGAUCUAAUUUGACAAGACAUUUAAGUCUCAGUUUCAAGACCAGUAAUUAUGCAUAUAUAUCUCACACAUUAGUACACUGCAUGAGUGCUAGACCAAAAAUUUAAGAUUCAAAAAUUCAGAUCACAUAGUAACACUUCGAGUAAAUCUAGACACACAAAAUUCAUCCAUUCGUGUUACCUUUUAGUGACUUGAUUGCUGCAACUUGUUAUUCUGAACUCUAAUUAACCUGCAGAAGAGAAACGAUUAGGCCUGAUAACUUGUUGUUGUUCUAGGAAUCUAGGGUUAAAGAGCAGGGAGAGGAACCACAUCAGAGAGAGAGAGAGAGAGCUAUGCCUCCUUGGUAAAUCUGAUAUGAAUUGCGACGGAGACUGCGGAGCGCUGGAGGGCCUGGGAGACGGCGGGGCGGGCCUGUGCGAAGGCGGCGCUAGAGGUGCGGCGCGGGACCGAGGCCGCUGGAGGGGCUGGAGUGCAGGAGGAGGCGAGAGGGCAGGGGCGACGGCAACGGGAGUUGAAAAGGAGGGCAGAGACGGGGUGGGGAGCGUGCGAGGCGGGCUGAGGCGGGGCAGAGGAGAGGGCAGCGGGGGGAGGAGGCGGCGGCGGCGGCCUCAGGAGGCAUCGUUGGAGGCUGGAUGGGGAAAAGAAAAGAAAAAAAGGGUUGGAGGGGGUGGAAUUUCAGCCUAAACAUGAGCGCGCACGGUUAGCAAAUAAUUCAUGUUCACUGACUCUGAUCGUGGGGCUAUUACUACUCCGUGUACGUUUAGUGGACGUCGGAUAAAUAUGUUGGUGUCUUUAUAAGUAGCAGAGAUAAUGAUAAAAUUUAAAAAACUCUACAAAUCCCCGGUACAUCUCUCUGCAGCUCGCAACCGGCCAACGAGAAGGGCGGAGGCAAAGAGGAAAGAGACAGCGUGACGUGGCAUCUCCAAGGCGCUCUGCCUUCCUGACGUGUCAUCCCUGACGUGCGGGCCCGGGACCUCAGCCUGUCCACGUUGAUCCGUCAGCGCAUCAGCGGUUCGCGACUCGCCUUCCUCCGUCCUUCAGCGCGGAUCGACCGGGACUCCUCUGUUUUCCCCCAAAUCUUCUCGUCUUCUUCUUCCACCGCUCGUUUCUCCAGGAACCUUCCAGAAGCUUCUCGAAACGACAGGCCGUGUGGUGCGGGUCUCUAUCUCUGUCCUCCCUCGGGUUCUAAUCGCUGUCGAUUUAUCUUCCAGGCGUGAUAGCAUUCGCUGUUUUCUUGAUGUUCGUAGUUGUGAGGGAGGCGCAGAUCCAGGGUUUCCUCCUGCCAUGGUGAAGGAGACCGCCUACUACGACACCCUGGGGGUCAGCGUCGACGCCUCCCCCGCCGAGAUCAAGAAGGCCUACUACGUCAAGGUGAUUGAUGGACGGACGGAUGAAUGAUUCCUUUGUUGCGUCCUUGAGUCUUCAGCGCUAUUGGGCUAUCUCUGUGCGCUAAAUUGGUUGGUGUUUUUUCUGCGUUUCAGGCGAAGCUGGUGCAUCCGGACAAGAAUCCUGGGAACCCCGACGCGGCGGUGAAAUUUCAGGUGGGUUUUGUUUUGGUGCCUAACUGCAUGCCUUAUAUGGACGCUGUGGCAGUUUUGUUGUGGACGAGCAGAAUUGUGUGGCCAUAAAGGUCUGUUGUUAUAGAAUUCAUGUAGCUAAACCGUGUGGUUUGGAUCUAGGUGUGAGCUAAAAUAUGAGUUAGGAAAAGAAGAGUUUGGCUGUGGUAGCAUCAAUUGUUACUCCUUAUGAAGUAUAGUAAUUAACGACUGGCGAGAUGUUCAGUGCCAGUAUAUUCUGCAUAUGUAUUUCAUUUUCACCAUGCCUUGUUCAUGAUAGGAUGGUUCCUUGCUGAGUAGUGCUUCUAUGCUCGUGGAUGUAAAUGUGGAAUCUAUUAACUGUAAUGCUUAUAUGUCAUCAAAUAUAUCUUUAAAUGAUAUCCCCGAUGCGAAGAUCAUUGGGUUAAAGCUUGCUAUUAACAGGAACUUGGGGAGGCCUACCAAGUUCUAAGUGAUCCAGCUAAAAAGGAGGCUUAUGAUAAGCAUGGAAAGGACGGUCUUGCCCAGUAAGUCAUGUAUUUAUUGAGUUAUAUGCUUUAUUAAACAGUAGGUAUUUUUCUCAAUACAAUAUUAGCAGACCUUUCCAGGAUUGUUCUGAUUAAACUAGCUGGCUGGGAGCAUAGAGCAGGGUGAUUUAGUGGAUUGUUGAUGUAGAGAGAAAGAGGAGGGCACAACAAGAAAAAGGCUUGAGGGGAACUACAGGGGGUGAAAAUGGGGGUCAAGUUAAGAUAGCCUCUCGAAUUUAUGGAUGGAUAGACAGUAUAGCAACUAAGUAGCUAUUUAUAAUAAAGUACCUGUUGGGGGACAUAAAAGUAACUACUCUCGAGACAGACGAUUAAAAACUCCAUUCAAGAUUCUACUUAUAUCUUUAUGCAGAAAUAAAAGGCUAAUUGGCUUCCUUGCUUUGUGGUUAUCUUCUUACUUGCUUAAUCAAUGUUGUCAGGGAUAACAUGGUAGAUCCAGCUGCUGUCUUUGGGAUGCUUUUUGGAAGCGAUUAUUUUGAAGAUUAUGUUGGUCAGCUUGCUCUGGCAUCCAUAGCUUCAGUGGAGAUUGAUGAAGGCUCAAGCAAUCAAGAGGCCACAGCAAAAGUUCAAGAGAAGAUAAAAGUAUGCUGCUUCUGCUUAAUCCAUUGCGCUGAAAUAUAAUCUAGUCUAGGUUCUGCCAUGCUGAUAAAAGUAUGCUGCUUCUGCUUAAUCCAUUGCGCUGAAACAUCGCACCCGGCGGAGCUUCCCGUUACUCCUGCGCGGAACCCUAGAUCGGUAGGGGGUGUUCGGUGGGGUGUGCGGCACAGCGACGAACCUUGUGUUGCGUGCCGCCGGCCCCCACCUCUUUAUAUUGCGUAGUGUAACAGGGGCCCGCCAACCAUAUUGGGUUGGGCGCCGCUGAUCAGGGCGCUGUAGAUCUAAGGGCCCGGUGGGCCCACAUGGGUGGAGAUCAUACUAAUUUGAUUUCGCUCAAACCAAAUUUGCCACCAGCCAAGCAUGAUAGCAGUUCUCAGCCGGGUGCGAUUUUUGGCGGACUGGCAGCGAAGAUCUUCAUUAGUCCACCAAUCGAGAGGAUGGAACGCCCGGCUAGGUUUGGUUUCUAGUUUUAGUCGUGGUGUUUGAUCUUGUAAUUGCCUAGCUGUAGCUUUUUGCUUCCUGGUUGCUCUCUUUCCUUCUUAAGUAAUGAAAAGCAGCGCUGCUGCAUUUUUGUCAAAAAAAAAGUUACUUCAGUGUGCAAGGGGAGGGCGCGGUCUCUGCCGAGCGACCCAGGGAGAUCGUAGCAUGCAUGGGCAUGCCUUUAACACUCGGAUAAGAAUACAAGGUGAGAUGAGGAUAAUCAUAGCAGUUUAAAUGUUUAAUACAUAGCUGCAUCCACAAAGGGAUACGAAUUACGAAAUGCUUUCGAACCAAAAAGGAAACCUUUAUCCGUACCCGGUAGCUAAAAAUAAAACAGUACAUGACUAAAUGUGAGUUUCAGGAGUAACCCAUCCCUUCAUAUGAAAAUGGCCCAUAGAUUUUGGCAACAAGUAAUUAUGUAUUAUCUUCCUCCAGAAAGACCAGUCAUGGUCGUCGCCACAGAAGCGCAUGACAGGAUAUGCAUCAUAUGCUGAUCGAAGUCUUCAUCCCGGGUAGUAAGGCUUAAAAAGCUUGCUUGGAAAUCUGGGAGUGACACAUCCUUUACAAGGUAUUGCAUAACUAGGCGCAUGCAUGGCCUAGCACUGUGUACUGAGUGUGAGCAUAGCAGGCCAAGCUUUAGUACUAAAUCUGCCUCCUCCUUGACAUAAUCUUGUAAUUUUGGGUCUACUGUUUUGAGUAUUGAACCGCUCUCCCAUGCAUCGAUCACCCAAUCUGUCAGUGGCACCAGCUCGCCAGAAUUGUUCACUUCUAUUGGGUGCCUUCCACAGGCAACCUCCAACAUGAACACCCCGAAUGCAAAAACAUCAGUUGCCUUGGUUGCUCUUCCUAGCCUGGCUAGCUCAGGAGCAAUGUAACCCCAGGUGCCGGCCAAAUGCGUGGUGUGGGCGUCUGUUCCAUGGUUGUGCAAUCUCGCAAGGCCGAAAUCACCAAGUCUUCCAUUCAUUUUGUUAUCCAGGAGAACAUUGCUCGUCUUGAUGUCUCGAUGGAUCACAACUUUCUCCCAAUCCUCAUGGAGAUAGAGAAGACCAGAUGCAAUACCUUUUAUAAUGUUAAAUCUAUGUAUCCAAUCUAUAGUCGGUUACCUUGACCAUGCAAAACUCUGUCAAGACUACCAUUUGGCAUGUAAUCAUAAACUAUAAGAAGUUCAUUUUUGUGACGACAAUAACCGAGUAACUAGACAAGAUUGUGAUGGCGGAGAUGACCGAGAAUAGUAAUCUCAGCUAUAAAUUCCUUCAUCCCUUGCUUUGAAUCUGGUGAAAUCCGCUUGAUCGCAACAUUUUUCUUGGAGCUUUGUAGAAUCCCUUUGUAAACCUUUCCAAAUCCACCUUUACCGAGUAGCAUCCUGUUUUUGAAACCGUUGGUUGCGGUCACGAGAUCUUUAUAUGUGAAAGACGGAGACCCACAAUUGAUUUCCCACUCACCACUUUUCCUUGCCUUCUUCAUAUAAAUAUACAGGGCAAUAAGCAUAACAAGCACGAUGAACACUGACAUGAUAAUAAUCGGUAAAAGAAUGUGACUGGAGGUAUCUGAUUGACUUUCUGCUUCCCUACGAACAUCGUCUAUAACUUCAGACAACACUGAGUAGUCAAGUGGUGUAGCCGCACCGUUUGGAUUGAAACUCCAGCCGAUAAUUUGGUGUAUGGACCAUAGGCGGGUUGCAGAAGCAAAGCCAACAUAGACUGACCUUGGCAACACGGAUAUGAGAUUAACAAUGCUUGAUAGCAGUGGGCGUUCAGGCUUCGGCUCUAAGUGAGGUGCUAGACUGACAUUCAUGUGGCGUGAAUUGGCAUCAUAGUCAACCCAUACUUGCAUCGGUUCACCGCUAAUGAGUCUCAAGUUAGUGAACUUGCCAUCUGAGGUGUAGUAACCAGCAGUAUGUGAAUUGAUAGAUACCAAGUUGUUUACAUCGAUUCCAACAUGGUUACUAUCAAUAUCCAUGAAUUCCCUAUUAAACAAGGUAUCAAACUCAAUAGCAAAGAGUUGGUUUGUUGUAUUACCGAGGUUUUCGUUGCUGAACAUGCCCAAGUACUGAGAUGGGAGGGUAUCCAACAAAGUGUCCGUCGUGGCAGAAAGUGUAAACCCAAGCCCAUAGCCGCUAGAAUCGCUGUACGGACCACUAGUGAUGACAAACACGAAGGUUGUCGAGAAUGAGGAAAUAGAGUUCAACGGGCCUCCACAGAAAGCGCGCCCAACCCCCUUGUAAGUGCCAUCGGUUAGCUUGAGAGCUUUGCUUGUGAUUGAAGCUACACCAUCAAGCUGGAGCAUGCUAGAAGAGAAACCGUUGUAGGUGAAGCCAUCGUUGGUGUAGGAAGCAGAGGUGGCGGGGAGGAGGAAGAAGACACAUAGUAGUAGGGAGCGUGGCAGCAUGGUGCAAUGCUGCAAUUAACAAGGCACCUUUCUCUCAGGGAUGGGUUAUGAAAAAUAAAUAUGAAAUAUAGUACUGAAGCAUGCGCCAAACAAAAGGAAGUCCGGGCAUCGUCCAUUCAAAGUUUGAUAUUUGGUCAAUAUUCUCUGUCAUACCGAGAAAAAGAAGGCCAAUUGAUAGGUACAGCACAGCACUAAAGCACAACUAACGUAUCAAGAAUGACACUGCAUAUGGUUGACCGACUUCUCUUUUCCUAAGCACAACUAACGAAGCGCGCAUAUCCAGCUAGUGGGGACUUAUCCCCCCAUGGGGUUACAAGCUAUGGUGUUGGAUUUGCAUCAUGUGCUAGGCAUUCUUCCACAUCCUGGAGAUUGUGAUGGUUCAAUGAUGAAAGAGACCUUGGAAAGUGUCAAAAAGCUUGAAGAUCAAAUUAAGCAGUUGUUGUUUGCUCGCGCGCUGGUGAGGAGGCAAACCCUGACGACGUGGUGGUGCUCACUUACUCGUUCGGCACCAUGUGGCUCCCGAAGGUCGUCUUGAUCAUGCAUCGGAGCCUCGUCACAAGCAUCACACAACCGGUGAUAUCUUGUUGCGAUGCUUCAAUUCCACUCCAAUAGCACAUGUGAUCUUACUCUGAUUUGCUUGAUCAUCACCAUUUGUCAUCAAUCAAGUAGAGUUUUACAAUGUUCACUGGCUUUGUUACUUGUAGUUACCAAACUGAUAUUGAUGUAGUUACCUAGCUAUCGGGUUACAAUUAUCACAGUUCUAGCUGUGUAGUUAACCAUCAGCUGAGGGUAUAAUUACCAAUGUAACAUUGUUGGAGUUACUCUGUUGUUUGGGUUAAAGUUACCAUCAAAUCACCAGCAGAGUUACCAUGUUGUUUGUGUAAAGUUACCCUCAUAUCACUGGCAUAGCUAGCAAACUUUCAUGUUACAAUUACCAACAGGAUCUCGAUAUAGUUACCUGGUGUCCAUCUUACAAUUAUCACCAUGUCAUUGUGGUAGUUACCAAGCUGUCGUGGUUAUUGUUCCUGACAUAGUAUUCACCAAACAUACAGGGUUUAUCUACUGUGGAAGCUAUUACUUGUGAAUAGUCUAGUCUGGUAACUCACAUCUUUAUCGGCUGAUAACUUCUGAGCUUGUAAGAAGAGUUCUAGAAUAUGUCUAAGUGAGAAGACGUAGGUUUGUAAUUGGUAACUAUUUUUUGAAUAGUAAGGUAACUCAUGUACCACCGGUCUGGUAACUUUCAAGGCUAAGCAAAUAUCUUCAAAACAUAACCAAUUGAGGUCAAUUUUUUUAGGUCGAUAACUAUUUGUAAAUAGUUGGGUAACUCAUAUCGUUACUGCCUGAUGACUUCUAGAUUUGGAAAAAAAUGUCUCGCAAACUUCCUUAGUGAAAUUAUAGUUUCCUGGUUGAUAAAUAUUUGCGAAUAGUCUGGUAACUUACAUGGUAUUGGUGAGGUAAUUUCUAAACUCAGAAAAAAGAAACCAAAACAUGUCUAGCUAGAUCUAGCGUCGAAACAAAUCAUAACUAACCUGAUAACUCACAUAGUAUAUACCGAUAACUCACCUGUUACUGGUUGAUAACUUCAGAGCUCUAAAAACGUUGAAACACCCCCAGUGAUUAUAGUUUUCAAGCCGAUAACUAAUAGUGAAUAGGUUCAGUAACUCACGUGCUUAUGGUUGGUAACUUUAAACUUGAAGAAAAGGUUGGUAAAACAUAUCCAACCGUGAUCUUGUUUUGAAGCUCAGGUAUACGGCUUUAGCUACACAACUUUUAAACCUUUCCAUUUAGCAUGUGUUUAUGCUGCAGGGCCCCUAUCUCACUUCAUUUGCAUGCAUGCACUCAACAGCUAGUUUCUUGUUGUGCACAUGGUCUUGCGGGAACGGCUCGGGCUUGCCCCGCGCGCGGCCGAAUGCUCGGGCUCACAGGGAAAAAACAGGGUGGGAUUGGGAUACGUAAGGCAGAUAUGUCAAAUGUCGUACAUCAGUUACAUAGUCCAGUCCAUUAACUUGUACUAAAUUCAAAACACUUACUAUAAAUCGGAGGGAGUAGUUACUAAGUAAGAUCUAGUGUUUUGAACCCAAUACUACACUUGAGAAUACUUGGUAACUGGUAUAUUUUCUCGUUGGUAACUUCCGAAUUUGAAGAAAUUCACCCAAACACAUACUGUAUCUACUUGUGAAUAAUCUGGUCUGGUAACUCAUAUAUUAUCGGUUGGUAACUUAUGUUCUCAAAUGAAUUCGCCAAAGCAUCUAGUUUUGAGCCGAUGAAUUAGUGUGAAUGGUUAGCUAACUCGAUCAAUUUAUGUAUGGGUAAAUAACUUCUGAACUUGAAGAAAGUGGCCUAGAACCAAACCCAAGUGAAUUCUCUAUUCAUUUAGGUUACAGUUACCAUAAUGAAACUCACAUACUUAUCCAACCGUUAAAGUUACAAUUACCAUAAAGGCACUCAUUUAGUUAUCCAACCGUUUAGGUUACAGUUACCAUCAUGACACUGACGUAGUUAUUCAGUCGUUUAGUUUGCAGUUAUCAUCAUGACCCAUGUAGUUAUCCAUUCGUUUAGGUUACAGUUACCAUCUUGACACUCAUGUAGUUAUCCAGUCGUUUAUGUUACAUUUAUCAUCAUGACACACAUUAGUUAUCUAGUCAUUUAGAUUAUUAAAGUUACCAUCGUGACACUCAUGUGGUUAUCCAGUCGUUUAGUUUAUAAUAUUCAUCGUGUCAAUAAUAUACUAUCCAACUAUCUAGGCUUCAAUUACCACCAUAUUAUUAACAUAGUUAUCCAGGUUUUGGGUGAAAGUUACCACCUACAUCAUAGCAGCGAUGUAGUUAACUAGGUUUCGUGUUACAAUUACUAAUGGAUUGUUACUAAUGUGAUAUUGAUCUUGUUUCUCAACAUAGCACUGUGUAGUUAACAAAUUAUCCAUGUUACUGUUCAGGACCAUGGCAUCAUUGUAGUUGUCAAGAUAUCCAAGUUAUCUUGGUGUUCGAUUGUUGAUCUAAUAUAGUUUUUGAAGUGGGUAACUACUUGUGCCAAGGUCUGGUAACUCACGUCUUAGUGCUUGGUAACUUUUGAGCUCGAAAAAAGUUGUCGAAACAUACCCAAGUGAGAUCUUGUUGUGAAGCCCUCGUUGUCACUAACUCAACGGUGAAAACGGAUCGUAAAUUCGUUGUGCCAUCUGAGAGCUAAAACAUUUUGAAUUUUUGGAUUUGGAAAGAAUCUUGGGUGACAUAAGCAUGCAUCAUCGUUGGACCGUGGCAGCCAGGAUAGCUUCGGCACGCUUGGACUUUCUUCGAAACCAAGAUGGGGUUCCCUCGCGCAGCGCAGCGCUGCUGCAUGCUCGCCUCGCGGAACAGAUCGGGAAAGAUACACUAGCUAGGUUUAGGGGCUCAUUGGAAAAACGGAACGGGGUCGCCUCGCGCGCUGCCGCGCACUCGGCUCGCGGGAUCGAUCGGGCGGGAAGCGUACCGCUGCCACGCUAACGGCUGCCGCAUAGCAAAGUCCAUAUUAUUAUAGGAAUUGAAUCCUUUGAUGAUAUCUGAGAUGUACCAUGCUAGGUACUGGUUCACUGUCUUAUCGGACCAUCGACCAGAUCUUAUGGAGAAGGUAUGUCUGAACACUUAUUAUCUGUCCAAUAUUUUACUGGGGGUCUAGGUCCUUCGAUUAGUAUGUCAGCCUAAAGCCACGUGUCAUGUGGGUCAGCACUGUAGCCACUGUGACAAGUCUCAGGACAGGCCAAAUGAACCUGCUAAGGCUUAGAUUAGUUUCAUAUUUAAAAUAUUACUAGCAAAAAAACCCGUGCAUGCUACAGAACAACGGAAAGUGUAUCAAGCACGAGCCGGUGGAGGCGAAGUCUGGACAUUGAUUUUUCGAUUGGAUUGAUUUCCAUACUGAGAUUGAUACCGAGAUUUUUUGUUUGGGUUCGGAUUGAUUUCCAUACUGAGAUGGAUACGAAGAAUUUUGGAUUUCAUGCUUAGGAGAUUGAUUUAUUUUAGGAUUGUUCGUAUUAUGUUGUGACAAAUUUGGACAGUACAAUAACUUUCGGUAAAUCUAAACCGUAGAAUUUCUGCUACUGAAAUCGUGAAUAAGGCAGGAGGAAAAAAAAUAAGGAGCAGUGGCAUAUUGAUUAUAAUUUUAACGAAGUUGACCGACCAACGGCGCCCACCAUCACCAUCAAUUUCAAUUUAAUAUAUUGUAAUAGAUUGUCUAACUAUACAACCAAGUCAUGUUAGUAUUUGCCUAUUUGGGUAAGAACAGUUCCUUAGCAGGAAGUCCAGCUACACAGAUUCCAUUAUGAACUGUACCAUUCUUCUUAAGCACUGUUAACAGUGUUGAAGUAUUAUGCAGCACUCAGGUCCUUCUUCAAGUUCGACAACAGGUACCGAACCUGCUUGACACGUGCGCGGUUGUGGGAGCCAAACAUGGGGUGCAGUGCCUCCCAGACUUCACGAGCUGAGGUGUGGUGUGUCAUCUGCCCAAGAAUGUCCUCGGACAUGGAGGCAAGCAGUGCGGUCAUCACCAUUUGAUCCUGCUGGUACCACUGGAAAAACUCCGGGUUGGAGAUCACUGCAUCGCCUCCCCGCGCCCGCGCCGCCAUGCCGCCUCCCCGUGCCCACGCCCGUGCCCCCUGCCCGCGCCCGUGCCCCCUGAUCUUGUUUUGAUACUUUAUGCAUAAAAAUAUAUAUGCUGCAUAUUCCAAAGGGCCUGCACACACAAAAGAAAGAGGCGCCCGGGGACGGAAAAGAAGCAGUAGCACCAUGGAGUGUACAUAUGAUGAAUAUGAUGGGAUCACCGAUCAGACUCCACCGGGACUGCACCUCAGAGCAAGCUACCUAGCUAGUACACACAGGCACGUCCGUCCCCAGCCAGCAGGAGAUCGAGGACCACCCAUGCAUGUCAAAAACAAGAAGAUGGACUGAAACGCCAGAGGUCUUGGCGUUGCGGUUGGGUUGCCAACGCCAGGGGUUGUGGCGUUUCCCCUGGCGAGCAAACCGGUUGCAGACUGCGCGUAGCGUUUCCUUUGUAAUCGAAACGCCAGCACGAGUGACGUUUCCAAAAAAGAUCAGAUUCGAAAAUAGUUUUGAACGAGGGUCAUUUUUGCCUCAACUUUCGAAAAAGGGUCAAAUUUGCUGAUUUGGCCUCUGUAUUUGCAGUUGAGGUGACACAUGUAGGGUCGUGGUGGGGCCCUUGCACCCCCCGAUGUCUCUCUGUCUCUCCCUCCAGGCGUCGUCCCCUCCUCUCGCCCCAUCUCUCUCACUUGUCUCCCCCUCCUGAUUUCCAAGUGAUGAGCGCCGCCGGUCGAGCUCGACUUCCUCGGCCUCCGCGCCGCCGCCAACGUCCCCGGCGAGCACCACGGCAAAAGUAGCGGCGCGAACGGGAACUCGUGCGUGUCGUGCAACACGUGCGUGAUGGCCGGGGACGCCGGGCUGCCCAUGGUGGGCCUUCCGUCCACGGCGGCACGGGAGGUCGCGCCGUCCAACGACGCCACCUCUGCUUGUUCGAAGCGGCCGGGCUUCGACCAGGGCGACGGCGCGAGAGAAGAGCAGCGGCGCCGACGACUUGAGGUCGUAGCAGGAGAUGAGCACGGACUUGAUGGCGUCUCGCAGGUUCGUAGCAGAGGCACAUUCUUCCUUCGCCGCCCGGAUUCUCCUCUGGUUCUCCUUGUGUCGCUCUAGACCUCGGCCCAGCGGCGCAGGAGCAAUUUUGGGGAGGAGUUCUUCAUGCGAGAGCGUAGACAUCGGGCCGGCGACGGCGGCGGCCCUGGAACGAGGAAUCAUACGGCUCGUUCUCCAUGAACAGGGCCUCGUCGCGCUCCUUAGCGGGGAUUCGGGGGCCUGGAGGUGUGGAUUCGGAACUGCAGGAGGGGAUUCGGGGCCGCCGGACUCCGGGAAGACCACUCCAGGUCCUGAUCUUCCGGAGUUUCGGGCAUGGAGGCCGCGGUGACACGAACUCAGGAUUCGGGACUGCUCCGGACGGGAUUUGGCGGCUGGAGGAACGGAUUCGGGGUGAGGAUGGCAGUGGAGCGGACACCAAGUUCGCCGUCGAGGAUGGCACCGGCGCGCGCAAGAGAGACGGAGAGGAUGACUGGCGGCGGUUCUUCAAGAGAGAAAAGGGAGGGGGCGACGGGAUGUGAACCCCACGUGCGCGCCCCCCUGUACGUUGUACCCGUAUCUGUCCAUAGAGCAAUAUUUGUUUUUUUGGCACAGAUCCCAAUGAGUUGGGGACGGCUAGGAUAACAUGUGCGACCCCCCCCCCCCCUUGGCACAAAAUCCGGGGUCCGUCCUACUCCUUCUAUCUUCCAGCACUAGCUAUGAUUACAUAUUAAUCCAAUAACCGUCAUCAGUUACUUUUACAUGAAGGCGGGACUGAUGAUGCGGAACGGUGGGGAGAUGUACUUUUUUUUUCAUUUACAUACGACCUUUUUAUCGGCCGGAUUCCACUACCAAAGCAACGGAACAAGAGUUCACAUAGCACGCCAACAAAAGUUCUCAGGCUGCAAAACGCAGUCCUGGAGGCAGAGGUCUCAAACUCAAACUGAAGAUAUAAAACACACAAAAGGCCCAAAUCUAAUUACAUACGAUACCAAGGAUCGCCACUGUUUUUUGUUGCCUACUUGAACCAGACAAAAAUGACACCUUGCAGCCACUCCAGCAUCUGCGUCUUCUCAGAAACCGCCCCUUCAUGUUCCAGAUCACAUGCCAGGCCCUCCCAUGUCCUGUUCAGGCCCCAGGAUCUGCGCCGUGUCCACCUUGGCCUGCCGUGGAUGAAGUUGUAGCGCCUCUGCCUGUAACGCCGCCGCCCCUGCUCGAAGCCGGUCCCUAUCGCCAUUGGAUUGCAAACCUGUCCAAUAUUUCAUGAAAGCACAUGGCAGGCAUAUUAUUUCUACAAGUGAACGUAUCAACUUAUUUUCAACCAUGCCCUAUUUCGCAACUUCCAGAUUGCCCAGCAAAUGGCAGCUAGGCCCACGACUUGCAAGUUUUUCCCUACGCAUAUAAAUGUUGACAUCCACCAAAUUUUUUUUGUAAAUGUUGACAUCCACCAAAAGUACUGGGAAAAACAAGAGGGUCUAGCAUUAACACCUAACAUCAUACUCACAACACUAUAGGCGUAUGUCGCUGCUCCACAAUGAAAGAACAAGUGGUGUAUGGUCUCUUCCCCUUUGCAAAAUCUACAGGUGGUACCCCCCUUCCCAAUUCCUCCUUUUCAUAUCAUCUUUGGUAGCUAUGGCAUUGUACCAGAUUAGCCAUGACCAGAUUUUUAUCUUAAAUGGAAUCCUAGCUUUCCAGAGAUGUUUAAAUGAUCUGCUUGCCCACCCCCCCCCCCCCCCACCCCCACAUGUGAGUACAUCAUACAUGGAUUUAACUGAGAAUUUCCUGUUUUUGGUCAAGUUCCAAACUAGUGUAUCUUUCUGAUCAGUAAGAGCCCAUCAACUUAUCCCUAACUUUCCUGUAUUCUUCUUCAAAGUCUCAUCAAGCCAUCUCCUGAAAGUCAUAACCCAUCUCCUGGCGGCCAUGUCAUGAACGGAUAGCCCCACCUCAUUAGAUAUGGAAAACAGCCUAGGGAAUUGUUGUGCAAAGGACAACUGUCCACACCAGGCAUCACCCCAGAAACCAGUUGAUUUUCCAUCACCAAUCACCACAUUUCUUCCUUUUAGAUAUAAAUCUCUAACUUUCGGUAAAUCUGCCCAGCAUGGAGAAUCAUGUGGUCUGCUUUGGAUAUUAAAAAUGCCCCUCUCCUGCAAAUAUUUCCUUUGAAUCAGCUCCUUCCGCAGCCCUGGUUCAGCUUUCAAUUUCUACCACCAUUUGCACGUAAGGCUAAUAUUAAAUAGCUCCAGAUUUUUUACUCCCAAACCCACCUUUGAUAUUUGGUUUGCAUAUGAUUUUCCAGGAGAUUAGAUGAUAUUUCCUCUUCCUAGAUCCCCCCUUCCAUAAAAAUCUUCUUCUAAUCUUGUCCAAUUUGACAAGGUUUGACUUGGGUAAAAUAUUCAUGGACAUAUGGUAAACUGGAGUAGCAGUCAAACAUCAAUUAAGCAAGGUGACUCUGCCACCAAUGUACAAAGCCCCCCCCCCCCCCCCCCUUCCACCCUGCAAACUUUUUUUCCAUUUUUUUUCCUCCAGCAAAGCCCAAUAUGCAACUUUGAUUUUAUCAACACUCACAGGCAUUCCUAACUACUUAAUGGGCCAAUUCCCCUCAUGACAGUUGAACAUCUCUGCGUAGCAUUGCCUCUUCUGGUUGUCUGGUAAAAUCAUGAUUACUUCACGUUUUUGAAAAUUGAUCUUGAGCCCUCACAUGGCCUCAAACAAGUAUAGAAUGAGUUUCAAGGAUCUGGCCUCCUCAAGAUCAUCUAUGACAAACAAUAUGUUAUCAUUAGCAUAUUGAAAACGGCAACUCCUGAAUCAACUAGGUGGGGCACUAGUCCAGUCAGUCUACCAACAUGUUGAGUAGCAUGUAUCAUUUUGGCCAAGCAUUCAGCUGCAAGAUUGAACAAAAAAGGGGAUAGAGGAUCCCCCGUCUUACCCCCUUAUGGCUCCCAAAGUAUGGCCCCAACACAUCAUUUACUUCUACACUCAAUGUCCCAUUAGUAACAAUAGAUCUAAUACAUCCCAUCCAUCUUCACUAAAACCUUUCAUCUGACCAUAGUGGAAAAGAAAGUCCCAGUUCACCUUAUCAUAGGCCUUUUCAAAAUCAAUCUUCAGCACCACACCCUGCUGUUUGCAACACUUGGAUUCUCUGAGGAUUUCAUUCAAAGCAAGCACCCCAUUGUUCCUACCCUUUAUAAAAGCAGACUGGCAUGGCUCAAUUAGCUUAGGCAUCAGAGGGCCCAGCCUUAGAGUCAUGCCCUUGGAAAACAUCUUGAACAGUACCUGAAGCAAACAUCAGCAUCAGCUCCUUUUGGUAUCAAGGUGAUUAUCCCAUAGUUGAUUCUGCUUAAGUCCACUUUCCCAGCAUGGAAAUCAGCAAAAGUUGUAUAACGUCAUCUUUAACAAUUUCCCAGCAAGAUUGAUAAAAUUCUUUAGCAAACCCAUCAUGACCAACUGCUUUAUUUCUUUCCAUGGAAUCAAUUAUACCCUUUAUUUCAUCUUCUCCAAAUGGCAUAUCCAGCACAGUCUGUUCUUCCACAGUUAACCUUUCCCCAUCCCCCCACAUCUCCCCUCUGAGAUGACACUGAAAUCCAUCAGCACGACCAAAUAAGGAUUUAUAAAAAUCAGUAGCAUGAUUCACCAAAUUAGUAGUGCCCUGUUUCACUUCCUCCCCUUGAUGCAAAGAUAAAAUGACAUUCUUUCUCCUCCUGCUAUUUGCAAUUCUAUGGAAAUAAAUAGUAUUAUUGUCCCCUUUGUGUAACCAAUUCUCUCCAGAUUUUCUCCGCCGGAACUCUUCCUCAUCAUCAUAAAGUUCAAAUAGUGCAGAGUUAAUGUCACCCCUCAUAGCUAACGGAUCCACCUGCAGAGGUUGAAUUUCCUCUAGCUCUUCAAUAUCUUGCAGCUCCUCUGACAAGUCCUUUUUUAGUUUGUUAGCUUGCCCUCUAAUAUUAUGGCCCCAUCCUUUUAGAGAUUUCUUUUGUUUUUUUAGUUUCCCCUGAAUCGCCCCCAAACUAUCUGCAGCCUGAACAGGUUACAUCCAAACCUUCCUAACUCUCUCAAGGAAAUCAGGGUGCCUGCACCAACUAAUAUCAAAUUUAAAGUCAUUGUUCCUCUGUUUCUCAUGUUGUUCCAUGGUAUCAAUAAUCAAAGGGUUAUGAUCAAAAAGCUGUCUCACUAAUUUCCUGAUAGUCAUCAAAGGAAAAAGAUCUCCCCAAUCACUAUUCACUAGUAUUCUAUCCAACUUUUCAAGGGUGGGACAUCAUGAUUGUUGGAACAAGUAUACUGCCCCCAAGACAUUACAAUUUCCCUCAACCCAUGAGUGUCAAUGAUGGCAUUCAGCAUAUCAGUCUUCUUACAACUCCUCCUCUUUUUAUUUUUAUCCUGGUGAAACCUUAAGAUAUUAAAAUCUCCUCCUACUAGUAAUGGUAAUUCUUGAUCACCACAAGCAGCACCAAGCUCAACCAGAAACUCAUCUUUCUUUCUUCCUGAGCAGCCCCAUAAACAAUCACAAUCCAGUAAGAUAGCUUUAUUUUCUUGUCCCGCACCUUUACCUUUAUACGGUAUCUACCCGUCGCAUAGGUCUUGAUGUCAAAUCUUUCCAUUCUAAAUCCCCCCAAAAGACCACCUGAUUUCCCACAAGAUGGUAUAAAUUUUCAGGUGAAUUGAUUCAAAGGAUCAAUUCUCCUAAAGAAAGCAUCAGAGAAAUCUUUCCUCAUAGUUUCCUGAAUGCCCAAGAAAUCAACCUGAAAUUCCCUAGUCACACCUUGUAAAUAUGCCUUAAAACCUUUCGUCCCCACCCCCUGCUAUUCCAUAUGAGACCAAUACUAUCCAAAUCCUACAGCCGAUGAGUUUUUCGCUUCCUCAGCGUUCCACGUAGGCGGUUGUGAUUUCCUUCUGUUUCGGCCGAUUUGUUGGCCGGUUCUGUUGGCGAGCGUGAGAAACCAAUUGCGCGGAUGUUCAUUUAUCACUGGUGGUGUGGGCCGCUGUGCUCAGUUGGGCCGCUGUCAGGGUAGGGGUGGGCGUUUGGGCUGCGCGGGGAUGGCUGACGAUGGGCUAGGCGGGUGGCGAUCGACGCGUGUUCAUGCGUUGUCUUUCGGAGCCUUUGAGAGUGUACUGCGCUGGCAGUUUGGAGGUCGGUAACUCCCGUUCUCGUGCCUUCUUCUGUCCUCUAUUUAUGGUUCGAAGUCUGCAUUCUUUUGUGGUAAUUUGGUCUGCCAUUUCUGCUCCCGACAGUGUUUGUCUUUCCUGUGAUGUUCAUUGGUGGCGUUGCACUGAAGAUCUUUGUUUCUGUGCUUCCCCAGGUUUCGUAGAGGUGGUGGUGCUUCAGGAUGUUGAGUAGCCGUUCUUUGCCUUCCCCGUUAAUUCCACGUUCACCAAUUUUCCCCGUACCCAUCGGCUCAAGAUCCGGUUAGCGGCCUCACAACGCUGGCGGGCCAGCCAUUGCCGUUGUACUCCUCCAUCGCCAUUGGCGGUGGCAUGCCCAUCAUCAGCAGCUGACUGAAGAACGGCAGACCACCAUGGCCACCGCCAGGCCCGACAGAUAAGCACCAACGAACAUAUCGCAAGUGGACGGGGGAGGGGCAACCAGCUGCUCAAUGUCAAUUCCACCACGACACGCCUGGUGCCAUCGUCGUUCACCCUGUCAUGCCCCAUUCUCUCCCACUUCGGCGUGCCUGGUACGGCGACGAGAAUCCUGCAACAACAAACCUGGGUGCGCCGCCAUAACCUCGCCUCCCGCAUCGUCUUCCACCUCUCCCCCGACCAAGAAAAUCCCCAGCAUCAGCGGGUCCUCCACGCGCGGUUCGUCUGGGGGGCAAGGAGAAGGGCUGGUGGCCUUCGGCGGCUGGGUGCGUGGGUCGCUGGUGGAUUAGACCAUGAGUCGCUGGUUUCUGUUCUUCUGUUUCAUCCAUUCUAGGUUAUCUUGGCUCUUGAUUCGGUUUGAUUUACAGGGGUUAGUUGUUGGCUUCUUUUAUGGUUGUCCUGUGGCCACAUGACCCAGUAGAAUACAUCUGGUUGCAUCCAGAUGUAGAAUUCAUAUGUGAUCAAUAUGCUAUGACGCAGUCAUAUAUAUAUUGGAUUUGGUUUCCUCACCCUGACAGCAGGCAGAUUCUCACACAAAGGGUGAGAUGAGGUGGCAGCCCCUACAAAGGAGGAAGCUGCACCCCUCCUGCUACCAGCGUUUUUCACCUUGCAAAUGGCCUUGGCUUUCGUCUUGAUUUUCUUAGAUAUGAUUGGUGUGGAACCAUCCUCAUCUAUAUACUUGCACAUGCCUUUUCUGCUCAUUUGGCAAGGUACAUAAUUGCAAGGCAUGGCAUUAGUGUUUGGCUCUCUGCCACAACUAUGGCUUGCCACACUUCCUUGUACACAUGGCCCAUGUAUCAGACUCAUUUAUUAGCUAAACAUACCACUUGUGGCUCCAUUUUUUUGGCCACAAGUUUGCCUAAAUCCAAACACAUCCAUGAAUGGUCUGUUUACUUAUAACUUGAUGGUGAAUUUGUAUGUGAUGUACAAAAAAAGAAGAAGAAGGGAAAAACAAAAAAUAAUCUUUCCUAAAAGAGAGAAUAAGAAAAUUGCCCCCCGAUUUGACUGGAGGAUCGGUUCGUUCCCUACUAGCGCAGCAAACUUGAGCAUUUGCAAGAAGUCAAAAAUAGGUGCGGAGCACAAUAUUUAUGUCGGACGAGAUCUGGCUAAAUUGGCGACGUGGGACUAAUAUCUCACCCUGCCUCGCCAAUACCUGCGAAAAACGAAUGGGCCGGCCCAGUAACCAGCCGGCGUGCUCAAUUCUCUCUUUGCCGAAAACUCGUUACUCCCGAUCCAAACCGUCGCCAUCUCGGUUCUCUUCCUUUCUCAUUUUCUCUCCACCACGACUUGCCGGCGCCGCCCCCUGCUCUGGUGCCCUCUGCCUUCCAUCUCCCGAUGUGGCGUUCUUACUGCGGAAGGCGCGGUGCCGGAUGCGGCUGUCGGCGUGGGUGGCGCUGUGGGACGCCGUCGUGCUCAUGGACGCCAUCCCCGUGCAGGCCGCGCUCUACCCGCCAGCUCGCGCUGGCCCGCCGCCUCGGCCGCUUCCCGGCCUCCAGCCCUCCACCGCCUCCCUAGAAGUCCAGGGUAUAAUUUGCAAACCAUGGUAUUGCAAAGCCAUCGCAGUCCAGUGUAUUAUUUGCAAUUACGGAAUUAACCGAAGGGGAUGAGCGCGGUGGCGGUGGAGAAGAUCGACUACGAGGGCAUCGCAGGCACGUCGGCGACGAAGCGGGCGGUGACGUUCGCGUGCAGCUUCGCCGUGCCGUGCAGGCGCGUGGCGCUGCGGAACGUCAACCUGACGUUGGUCGGGCACGGGCACAGGGCGCCGUCGGCAUAGUGCCGCGCCGCGUCCGGCAAGAGCACCGGCGUCGUCGUCCCCGAGUCCUGCCUCGCCACGCUGCCCAGGCUGCUGGGCUUCAAAUCUGCUGAUGAUGAUGAGAGUGAGUGAGGCUUGAGGUUCUUGGAUCCACGGUCCACGGUGUUGUAUUAGCUGUGCUUGUGAUGGUACUUGUAGAGUGGCCGGCCGGUCGUCCUUGGAUCGAUCCGGCCGUGUGUUGUACUGCUGCCCUGUUUACAAGUGUUGUACUGUAGUGUGAAAUUGUGUGUACUGCCCUCUAUUUUCAAGUGUUAUAAGUUUGUAUUUUUCUUAUGUACUGUUCUGCUCCUGUAAACUUGUGGUAUGAUUUGCUGUUUGACACUGGGUGCAAUAGUGCGAAGAUAGCCGUGUCAGAUCGAGAUUCGGCCCGUGAUUUGUACUAGCGUGGAUCAUGAUGCUGUUCAAUUCGAAUUUCCCUAAAGAACAUGGAAGCACAGAUGCAGAUCUGCCCUUUCCUCUCUUAGUAGUUAGUACAAAAUUCAGCUAAAAAAAAUGUAACAACGCGAUGCGUGUGAAGUCAAACGGAUCGCUGGAGGAGUUGUCGUACUUCCCGUCUGCAGUUGCAAUGACAGCUGACCCUGAGCUGAGCUAGGCUCCGAUCCAUCCCGGGCUGGCCGAACAGACAGUGGGCGCGUCCAUGGCGCUUCGUGCAAGGACGACGCCGCUUCUGCCCGCGGCUCUCGCCGUGGCGUUCCUCCUGUCAAGCGCCGCCGAGGCACGCGUCCUCCUCACGCUCGACGACUUCGGCGCCGUCGGGGACGGCAUUGCCAACGACACCCAGGUAACUAACGCCCUCAAGCUGCUUUAAUUUUAAUCUUAGCUGUAGAGAAUUCGAGGUGUACCUAACACACUACGAGAGGGCCUAUUCACCUAUACCAACUACUUUGGUGUAGUUGAUUAGUCUCUUUUUAUUUCUACUUACUUAAUGCAAGCUUUCGGGCGGCAGAGCCACUCACGUUAAAGCAAGUCUUGAAUCCGGGCGGCUAUGCCACUCACGUUGAAACAAGACCGUUGUGAUUCCGGGCGAAUCCGCUCACGUUAAAUCACAACUUAUAUGCACUAAGUACUUAGAAAUAACAAGGCCUAACCGGGAGACUUAUAUGAACAAAGUAGUACUAUAUUGCUUUAGGAAUAUUAGUACAAGAGAGAGCAUACACACCUUACACUUGCUCAUACCUUGUUUUCCACCUUCUUCACUUUCUUAUUAUCUACUACACAAGGUGUGAGGUAAGGGCCUCUAUUUAUAGGACUACAUGGCCAUUGGAUCUUUGACAUGUGUCAAAAUCUUAGCCAUUGAUACAAAAUAUCUAAAGCCUUCCACACACUUCUACAUAAAUAUCUAGGUACUAGAAGGUUUCCUAUUUAUUUAUUUUAAACUCCUAUUCUAAAGUAUUCCAAAGCUUCUACAUAAUUCUUCGUGCAUAUCUAAACACUAGAAGGUUCCCUCUUUUAUUUAUUUUAUAUUUUAGAAUAUUACACAGUAAUGUCUUCUUUCUUCUAAUAUUGAGAUCGUUCUAGCUUGCAUCGUAUUCUCCGACGUUAGCCUCUCCAUCGAUGGAGGCGGCAUUAAGUCCGAGCUCUAGUUUCUGGUUUCUGAUUUCUUCUCCUGGCGUUCGUCGAGGCCUGGAGCGCGGCAUGCGCCAUGGGCGACAACACGUACCUCAACGUCCCCGCCGGCAAGUCCUACCAGAUCUGGCCCGUCACGCUCGCCGGCCCCUGCCGCGGCGAAAUCAAGCUCCUGGUACUAGUGCACUUCAAUUUCCAGCCUCUGUGGUCUGUUUCCUCACAGACUCAACAGUAAACCAGGCGGCUCCCAAGGCGGUCCACUUCGAGGGCUGCGAGGACGUGAGCGUCAUGGGGAUCACGGUGCAGAACAGCCCGCGGCAGCACCUGGCCUUCACCCGCUACUACAACGUCAAGGCCAACUACCUGCAGGUGACCGCGCCGGAGGGCAGCCCCGGCACCGUCGGCGUGCUGCUCGCCAGCUCCACCAACGUGCACGUCAUGGACGACCUCUUCUCCGUCGGUAUGCGUCUGCGCAUCUGUUGUCUGUAUCCGUUUAAUUUCUGAACUGAAUGUCUGAAUCUGCUGUCGUUUUCUUUCAGGUGGCGAUUGUGUGUCGAUUGUGGGGAAUUGCACGGAUGUGCGUCUCAGAUCCGUCUCGUGCGGACCAGGCGCCGGUAGAAUUUCCAGCCAAUUUUGCAACUUAAUCUCGAUUUGCCUAUGAAAAAUGCACCCUUUGAAAUGUUGGUCGGUAUCGGGGACUCGGGCGAGGACCAAAGUCAGCACAAGACCGAGAAGAUCAAGAUGGACACCCUCUUCAUCACCAACACACACGAGGUAACCACACAAUACAAUCCCCAAUUCCUCAUCUGAAUCAAGUAAACGACGGCCACCCAGGCCAGGAGAUGAUGACACUGAACUGAAGCUAACAUCAAAGCCGUGUACCAGUAACAUUUUGCUGCCGUUGUUGUUCAGGACGGCUGCGGCUUCUGGAGUUCUCACCGACACUGCCUUUGUCCAAACGGAAUUGCUAGUGCUCAGGCGACUGAGAAACAAUAUUUCUCAGUCGACCUGCUGAUGGUUGGAUUUCCAUGCUAAGAUCGUGCGUGCGUUUUCUGUUUCCUCGAUAAUUCCCUGUCCACGAAAGAGCUAAAAGGGCCAUAAUAGCUAGCAUUUUUCUUGGGCCAGGGGUGUGCGGGUCUGAGAUGGUCUGUGUUCUGAUUUUUGGUGGGCCAGUGGCUGUGUGUUGGGCUUGAUAAAUGCUAGUGGAAUUUUCUUUUCAGAAUUUGCAGGGUCAUGAGUGUAUUCUUUUGCCAUUCCUUUGUGUUCGUAAGCAACAGGUUAGAAUAAUAUAGUUAUUCUCAAAAAAAUGUUAGAAUAAUAUAGUCCCAAUUAAAAAAGGUUAGAAUAAUAUAGUGUCCUUUUUUUAAUCAAAGCUCUGUGUUUGUGUUUGGUAGUGGUUACAUCCAAUGAGUGUGCAAUUUCUUUAUCUAUAUUCCUUUAUAUUGGUUAAUAUAGUACUAGUUUUAUCUGGUUUUUAGCUACUAGCUAGUUUUAUAUGGGUUUUUUCUUCUUUUUUUCCUAAAUUACCAUACUAUUAUUAGUAUUAUUAUUAUUAUCGGAUUUGUUAGAUCUCAAUCGCUGAGAAAAACAAUUUCUCAAUCGACGAUAUUAGCAUCGACCGGACGAUCGACAUGCUGCGUGGACGUGUUGAUGGCAGGUCAUCCGCUUAAUUUUAUUCGACUGUAACUUUAAUUUUUUUGGUUGCGUGCCGGUUUCAAUUGUAGUUUUUCUAGUUGCACCCAUAAUGUUUCCUAUUUCAUGGGGCACUAAAUUUCAUGUGCAAUUUUUAAAAUCGCGCAUUAAGUUUCAAGUGCAAUUUGUAAUACGGCACAUUAAAUUUCACGUGCAAUUUUUAGAACGGCGCGUUCAAUUUCACGUGCAAUUUUUAACCGCGCAUUAAGUUUCAAGUGCAAUUUUUUAAUACGGCGCAUCAAAUUUCACGUCCAAUUUUUAAAACGGCACGUUAAAUUUCAUACGCAAUUUUUAACCACACAUUAAAUUUCACGUGCAAUUUUUGAAACCGUGUGUUAAACUUCACGUGCAAUUUUUAAAACUGUAUACACUCAUGAGGUCGUUGUGGUUUUUGUUCUCCCGUAUUGUUUAUCUGUGCGUUUGAUUGUAGGUUUUUUUUGCACUACUAUAGGCCCAAUAAAACAGCUACCGUACCUAACUUGGGUUGUGUUUUUAUUGCUUUUUUGUGGGCCAUUGGACUAGAUAUGGAGUUACUAUUGUACGUUAAACCUGGACAGCGUCAACAGAAGUGAAAUUAAUUACGGAGACCUCCUUGGAUCAUGGUGGACUCAGUCGCCUGAUCCCUAGUGACUCCCUUAUCCAAAAUGCCUCCCCCUGUUGGAGAGGCAUCGAGCAUGGCCUUGAUCUUCUGAAAAGAGGCGUUAUCUGGAGAAUUGGUAACGGCAGGAAUGUGCAAAUUUGGCCCCCGGGGCAACUUGAAAGCUUCUGCAAGCCUGAACCGCUCUCGCCUUAGACGGGUGUCUGACCUGAUCGAUCAGACUAAACACUCCUGGAGAGAGGAUCGAGUUCGGGAAGUCUGUAUCCCUCCUGACGAUUAAGAGGUGUCCUGAAAAUUCCUCUCUCCCGUGCAGCAGUUGAAGACGUACCGCAUCGCGUGGCACCACGGGGCGAACGGAAUUUUAUCUGUCUGCAGUGCCUACCGUCUGGGCAGGCAAAGCCAUUGCCUCGCUCUCUCCGAUCGAUGGCCAGUCCAGCACGUACUGCCCCUGAUGGAAUACGUCAGCUUUGGGAUUUGAUUUGGAAAGCGGAUGUACAGCCCAAGGUGCGCGUUGUCGCCUGGAAACUUGCUACCAACUCCCUGGCACUUGCAGUCCAACAUAACAGAGCGAGAAGGCUACCAAAAGAGAUCCCUACCUGCCAAAUCUGCCUGCCCUCCGUUUCACUAUGAGAUCGCACUGGGAGCUGCCUGACGAGAAAACCCUUAGUUUCAAAGGAAACGACUGGUGCCUACUCACUCUUGCCAGGCUGAACCGAAACGAGCGGACUAAGAUGCUCCUCAUCUGGUGGAGGGCUUGGCACCACAGGAACAACAUCAUCUUCAACAACGGAGACUGCCCAAUUAGUGCAUCUAUAAACCUGCUCAUGGGCUCCUAUUCUGGGCAGGAAAAGACUCCGGGGAAUUUGAAUUUCCCUCUGACCAAAAGGAAUUAAGGAAAAGGGUGAUCAUCCCGCCGUUGUCUCCUACGGAGAAAUGCUACCCGCCCUGGCCCCACGGCCGUCUGGCAAAGACCCAAGCAUGGUUGGCAAAAGCUGAACGUCGACGCGAGCUUCUCCAACAGUUCUGGCUUUGGUUCCUGGGGCGCCGUCCUGUGCAAUCACGACGGGAGCGUCGUGGGCUCUGCGUGGGCGGGCGGCAUCAAUGCCUCGGACGACACCACCAUGGAGACUAUUGCUGCGCUUGAGGGGCUGCGGAGCCUUCACCACCUGAUCUCCAGACUAAUCUGCAUCGAGAGCGACAGCCUCCGGCUCGUCAAAGAAUUCGAUCCGAGUGGAGGAUACAUUCCCCAGCAUUGUACGAUCCAAGAUGUAACUUUGUUAUGUAAAUGAUGAAUAAACAGGUACUUCGAUGUAAAAAAAAAGGUGUGUUUUCUAUGCCAAAACUAGCCAUGCCCGAAAUAUUUAGUGUUUGUUUGCUUUGUUGCCAAAAAAUUGAUUUCCAAUAAGUAUCCAUCCACCUCUCUCACAUAUUCUUGUCAAAUCUUUGGUCUAGUGUGGGCUCAAAAACCAUUAGCCAAAAAAUUGACAUGUAUCAGCAUCAUCCAAACAUACGGUUAAUUACCGAAUUUAUUUUGACCGGUUGGGCUUUUGGUGCAAUAGUGCAAGGGGUUUGGACCUUCAUUUUGCCUUGAACUCUUAGUGCAAUAGUUCUGGAGUUUCAAUUUGGCUUGGACUCUUGGUGGCGGUAAAUACACUCCGAUCAAUUAUUUAAGAGGUGGAAGCAAAUUAGUCCAAUUCUUGUAAAAUGGGGUGGACUCAUCAUAAUAUUUGAUUUGCGGGUUCAUUAGAGGUCCAGACCAACAAGAAGAUGACACGUGGACUGUUUAGUCGGGUGUUGCAUUUUGCUGAAAGCCCCGUGGACCUUUUAAUUUUUUUUGUCAGGAAUUCUCUCUAAAGCAAACAUUUCGUCAUCUUUCGUUUGCAUUCCUCUUCCCCUGCGUCCACCCGAACCCUAGUUUUGCUAGCCACUGUCGACGGCUGCCGCAUUAGCGCAAACGGGGGUUAUCUUGCAUCUGGAGUGGCCAAAAGUAUUUGAUAAUUUUGGCUGUUUGUUGCCAAAGGUGUUGCAGGAAAUCGAUCACCGGUUGCUAACAAUGACUUAUUUUUGGUCAUGUUAAAUCAGAAAUGUGAGGAUAGGGAGAAAGGGGGCAGCCUUAUUGCGUGAGAUGGGUCCAGGUUGAGUAGUAAUACUCUGUAUUUAGGGCGGGUUUCUUAAAUAGACUUUGACAAUAUUGAUGUAUUGUUUCCAUAUAUAUAUGAUAUGAGAAUGUCCUUGAUAAGUCAUUUCCUUGAAACUCUUGCCGGUUCCCUUUUGAACAACCCUUCUUGUACUAAUUAGGAUUGUUGAUGUAUUGAUGUAUUGUUUCCAUAUAUAUACCUUGAUGUGAGGAUUGAAGGACUAGCCAUGUUUAAUUUUAUUGUUUCCUGAAAAAUGUUUAAUUUGUUGUGGGUUUCAUUUCUUAUCCAUGGCAUGACCAACUUCCUGUCCAAGUGCAAGGCAUGAGAAAUACCAAAUACAAGGAGUGUCGGUAGAUGAACCUGUAUUUCACAACCAAAAAGCAAGUUAAUACUUGCAUUUGGCUGUGCUUAUCAUAUAGGUUUAUUUAAUAUCUUUCUUGAAUCGUAAUCAGCAUGGACUUAUUGUUGAGUGCCCAAUUGGGAUAUCUGAAUCAUUGCCCCUUUGCUUGAAAUUGUGGCUCAUUAUCACUGGGAAGUUAUCAAGACAAGUAAGAGCAUUCUGUAGGUUCCCUACAAGUAGUGUCAAAAACAUACAGUCCAACCUUGCUCCAUUCUUGAACAAUAAAUUCGGGCAAAUGACUGGAAUCUUUUCAACACUUCAUAAAAUGGUCAGCAUUGUUAUCUAACAUCUGGAGGUAUUUUCCAUUAGAGGUAAGAUUUGGCCAAUCCGCUCUGGAGGAGUUCAAACAAAGGUCAUCACUGUUUCUCCCCCGUGAAGCUCCAUCAUUACCUCGCUCAAGGUGUUAGGCAGGUGUCCUAAGAAUUAUGAAAGUUAAUUCUCAGACUGUUAAGAGUUUUGAAUUCUUCAAGUUGAAGUUCACGCAUUUUAUUUUUAACUUCUUCCAGGUAUAUUGUUUUGGACUUAUUCGGAGCGGUGUACUCUUCUAUAUUUUCAGGAUCCGAAACAUGUAACAUUCAGAUCUACAGAAUAUCUAGAUAAUGUAAUCUUGGUGAGCUUGGAUAGUUCAGUAAGAGUACAUGUGCCACCAAAUUGAUUGAUUUUCCCGUAAAUAGUGGUAAUUGAUGAUCAUCUUUUUAUCUAAUCCAAGAAAGUGAAAUAUUUGUGACUAACAAAGAGUCUUAUGAAAUAUGAAGUGUUAGAAAAAAUAUGCAUUUUAAAUUUUAAGUUAUGACACACAAAGAGACAGGUUUGCUAAUGAAUGAAAAAGUAAGAAAAAAAAUGAAUGGUGUGUUGAAAAACACGCUUCCGUAUUUUCGUAUAAUGGUCAGUUUUUUUCGAGCAGCGCGGUGAAGCGCGCAUAUUCAGCUAGUGGGGACUUAUCCCCCCAUGGGGUUACAAGCUAUGGUGUUGGAUUUGCAUCAUGUGCUAGGCAUUCUUCCACAUCCUGGAGAUUGUGAUGGUUCAAUGAUGAAAGAGACCUUGGAAAGUGUCAAAAAGCUUGAAGAUCAAAUUAAGCAGUUGUUGUUUGCUCGCGCGCUGGUGAGGAGGUAGACCCUGACGACGUGGUGGUGCUCACUUACUCGUUCGGCACCAUGUGGCUCCCGAAGGUCGUCUUGAUCAUGCAUCGGAGCCUCGUCACAAGCAUCACACAACCGGUGAUAUCUUGUUGCGAUGCUUCAAUUCCACUCCAAUAGCACAUUUGAUCUUACUCUGAUUUGCUUGAUCAUCACCAUUUGUCAUCAAUCAAGUAGAGUUUUACAAUGUUCACUGGCUUUAUUACUUCUUGUAGUUACCAAACUGAUAUUGAUGUAGUUACCUAGCUAUCAGGUUACAAUUAUCACAGUUCUAGCUGUGUAGUUAACCAUCAGCUGAGGGUAUAAUUACCAAUGUAACAUUGUUGGAGUUACUCUGUUGUUUGGGUUAAAGUUACCAUCAAAUCACUAGCAGAGUUGCCAUGUUGUUUGUGUAAAGUUACCCUCAUAUAGUGGCAUAGCUAGCAACCUUUCAUGUUACAAUUACCAACACGAUCUCGAUAUAGUUACCUGGUGUCCAUGUUACAAUUAUCACUAUGUCAUUGUGGUAGUUACCAAGCUGUCGUGGUUAUUGUUCCCGACAUAGUAUUCGCCAAACAUACACAGGGUUUAUCUACUGUGGAAGCUAUUACUUGUGAAUAGUCUAGUCUGGUAACUCACAUCUUUAUCGGCUGAUAACUUCUGAGCUUGUAAGAAGAGUUCUAGAAUAUGUCUAAGUGAGAAGACGUAGGUUUGUAAUUGGUAACUAUUUUUUGAAUAGUAAGGUAACUGGUACCACCGGUCUGGUAACUUUCAAGGCUAAGCAAAUAUCUUCAAAACAUAACCAAUUGAGGUCAAUUUUUUUAGGUCGAUAACUAUUUGUAAAUAGUUGGGUAACUCAUAUCGUUACUGCCUGAUAACUUCUAGAUUUGGAAAAAAUGUCUCGCAAACUUCCUUAGUUUAUAGUUUCCUGGUUGAUAAAUAUUUGCGAAUAGUUUGGUAACUUACAUGGUAUUGGUGAGGUAAUUUCUAAACUCAGAAAAAAGUAACCAAAACAUGUCUAGCUAGAUCUAGCGUCGAAACAAAUCAUAAAUAACCUGAUAACUCACAUAGUAUAUACCGAUAACUCACCUGUUACUGGUUGAUAACUUCAGAGCUCUAAAAACAUUGAAACACCCCCAAUGAUUAUAGUUUUCAAGCUGAUAACUAAUAGUGAAUAGGUUCAGUAACUCAUGUGCUUAUGGUUGGUAACUUUAAACUUGAAGAAAGGGUUGGUAAAACAUAUCCAACCGUGAUCUUGUUUUGAAGCUCAGGUAUACGGCUUUAGCUACACAACUUUUAAACCUUUCCAUUUAGCAUGUGUUUAUGCUGCAGGGCCCCUAUCUCACUUCAUUUGCAUGCAUGCACUCAACAGCUAGUUUCUUGUUGUGCACAUGGUCUUGCGGGAACGGCUCGGGCUUGCCCCGCGCGCGGCCGAACGCUCGGGCUCACAGGGAAAAAACAGGGUGGGAUUGGGAUAUGUAAGGUAGAUAUGUCAAAUGUCGUACAUCAGUUACAUAGUCCAGUCCAUUAACUUGUACUAAAUUCAAAACACUUAUUAUAAAUCGGAGGGAGUAGUUACUAAUUAAGAUCUAGUGUUUUGAACCCAAUAACUACACUUGAAAAUACUUGGUAACUGGUAUAUUUUCUCGUUGGUAACUUCCGAGUUUGAAGAAAUUCACCCAAACACAAGCGAAUCCUGGGACAGAGCGGGUUGCAGUCAGGAGAAUUGGCGGCGGUGACGAAGCAACUGGAGUCGCCAGCGGCAGCAACAUCUGGAGCAGAGGGCGGCAGCGUUGGCGGAUGGGCAAAGGUUAGCGGCGAGGCUUACUUGGACCCAAGGUCACUUAUUUCCCGAUGAAAGAUUUUUUUUUAGUUUGAUGUUGAGCAUAGCAAUUUUGUUGUUGAUACUUUGCUGCCAAAAAACUUUGGCCAGAAGAAUAAGACGGUUUGGCAAGAAGAACAAGACGAUGGGAAGAAGCGGGAGGUUUUCAGCAACACAACUACGAGUAGCACAGCCCGAUCAAAAAAACCUAAGUGUAGCACAUACGUGGCAUAGCCCCCUGGCGCGCCCCGCCGCUGGCUGCGGGUUCACGGCUUAUUAGCAGGCGCCGCACGUUUUACGUUACGGUGGACACGUCGCUGGUAGUUCGGUCCGAGAAAAAUUCCUCGUUGCGUCAGUCUCUUCAAUCCUCGACGCUAGUGUCGCCUCACCCCGCGAGCCCCCCCGCCCCUCGCCGCCCCCGCCCGGCUCCGCCACGCCGCCGCCCUAGCUGCCGGCCCUGACCUCUUCUCCCCUCCGCCCUCCUCGCUGCCAGUCCUCCUCCACUUUGCCCCGUCGCCGCUGCCAGUCCUAGAUCCGCCGCUGCAAUUCACCGCCGGUCCCCUCGACGCGAUUCGCCCCAAUCCCGAAACCGUUCGAAGAUGCCGAAGGCCAGCAGGCGGCGCAUGAGGAGGGAUCCGGGGAAGGAGAGGGAAGCGAAGAAGAGAAGCCUGGCAGAGGAUCGGACGGUGAUGUUCGCGGCUUUUGAGAAUGAAAAAAUCCAAUCCGAAGCAAAAUUAGGUAUGUAGCCAACCUCCACAUAAUUUUCCUCCUCAUCACGGCAUGAGUAGUAUUGCUGCCAUACCCUUGUUGUUUACUUGGUUGAUAGAACUCAAAUCUCUAACUCUAUAUUAGUUCCCGGUCUUGCAUGGCUUGUAAUUUACUGCGACGAGUUAAAAUUCUUCUCUUUUUUGGAAAUAGAGAAAAAAUUCUGUAAUCAUUCAUCUGUCUGUGAGUUACAUUUUAGUGUUUUACUUUGUUCAGAUCUGCUAUGCCAUGAGCUAUCUUCCACUGUUUCAGUCUAUAUUAGUCAUUGCGUGAUGUCUCUUUAUUUUGAGUACUUCGUCAUGUCUCUCUCCCAGUCCUGACUCACUUGCUUCUACCCAAACCUUGAUGUAUGCUAGUCAUGCAUGAUGCUAGUUCUACUUUUUAUAGCAUCAGUAAUAGGUGUUUGAGUUGCAAUUUGGUCAGGGUUUGCAUUCAUAUUGCUAGGAAAUCAGUUUAGUUGCUUUUGCAUCAAACCCUUGUUCUUUUUUCGAUCUCUCUAGCUUAGGAAAUUAUUUGCACUAGUAUAGUUGAUCCCUGUGGAAUACGACAACCCUGCUUAUCAUUUUUCUUACAUCAAUUUUGGUGCUGUAGAUCGUGUGUACGACAAUGUGGUUGAGUCCUCAAUGGAGGAAUCCUCCAAUCCACCCAGCCCUCUGCUCCACAGGCCCUACAUCCCCGACGAGCUAGCUGACAGGGCGGACGUACGUGCCGCCUUCCAGAAUGCCAUGUUACAAUUCGAAGCAGACAUAAGUCGGGUCCCCUCCCUCUAGCUUGAUCCCGCUUUUCAUCGUUAUCAUCAUAGCUAAUUUUAUAUAUGCAGAUCGUCGGUCUGAUCUCUUCACCUUGGAUCGCUACUAUACUCGUUCCUGCCUGACCAAGGACCGACGCCUUCUUCACAUCCGCGAGUCUGCAAAGGAUGCCGUGCUUCUUGCCGCCAACUCCGUCAUCAGCCUCUCGUCCUAUCUCGGUAUGAACACAUGUAACUAAACAUAUAAUUAAUAUUUUCUAGCACAUCUGCCGAGCUAGUGUUGCGACUUUCGGUUUGCUUUCCUUGCAGACGAUGAGCCGCUGAAUAAGUGCUGUGGUUUGUGGAUUCAACGGGACGACAAGGAGAAAACCGCCAUUGUUUUGACGUCCGCGCAUCUCAUUCGUGCAAAUCGCACAACGGAUCCCAAGAAGCUGAACAAGUGGUUGUUCGAGUGGACAGGCAAAUAUCAUCGUGAUGCUAGCGUGAGCUUCUUAACAUUAAUUCACUAUUGUAUUAUCUAUCUUCUUCAUGCGCUAGUCUUUGUUUCUUUCUUUCUUUGUUUCAGGUGUGUUUGAGAGGGCUCCACUCCAGCUAAACUCCACUUCACCUCUAAACUCCACUUCAUUUUCACUCCACUUCACCAACUAAAUGUGUUUGGCGCUCAAGCUAGCUCCAGAUUCAUGAUGGCCUUAACCGUACGGGAACAGAUCUGUUCUUCCACACUCAAAUCAAUCAAGCUAAUCAACCAAGGACGUCUCAAUCAAUCAACUGUGAAACCUGCUACCUUCGUUGCUAUGUCGUCUCAGUGGAGAAAAGGGUGGCUGAGGCAGCAACGUCCUGCUGAACUGCUGAAGUGCAGAGAGCGGCAGCAUCAGCGAGUUCUACUGGAUGCGGUUGCGGCAGACCUGCGACGGGGCAUAGGCCUGUAAGCUCUCCUUGAGUUUUGCUGGAGGACCACGACGAUAUCUGCUUCAGUAGGGGCGGAGGUGGCGCCUUGGUCGUGCUGGUGCAGGGGACCCGGCUCCUUGGGGGUUGUGGAGGUGGGGGGCGGGCCUCGCCGGAGAUAGAGCGCCGGCUCACUGGAGGAUGAGCAUGCCUCGCCUACGGCCGGGUGCGCCGCUUCGGGGAGACAGGAGGAAGAGGAGUCACGUACGAGAGGAAGAGGAGGAGUCAGGGAGGUUCUGUUCACGUAGAUAACGGUUCGGGGUUAAUGAGUGGCAUUGGUGGGCAAAUUACCCCAGCUUUAGGUGAAGUGAAGCAGGAAAAACCUCUUUCUUGACUCCAGUGAAAUGAACUAGAGGGCUGUACUGCUCCACUUCACCUAACAUAUGGAGUUUGGGGUGUUUGGGACAACUUCACCCACUACACAGGUGAAGUUUUGAAGUGGAGUAGUCCCAAACAGGCUCUUCGUGUCAAAAUUUAAUUAUUUGUAAUGCCUCAGUUGGCAUCUGCUUAGCAAUUAAAAGUGUUAUCUCUUCAAUUUCCGUAGAAGACUUGAUUUGGUGCGGCGUUCGUUUUUUCUGAUAGUUAAUCUCUUAAAAAUGGUUUUGCCAAAUACUAUGAAUUUUUUCUCGGAAUCAUAGUGUCAUAAUUUUUGCGGUUGUCUUUCCAGGUCACUGUUCACUUUCUGGAUGGCACAACUGCAUUAGCCAAUCUCAUCUACCUCCAGGAGCACUACGAAUUUGCUCUUUACGAGGUUGUAGUGGACAAACCAGUUCAACUGUCCACUUUUAAUGACAAUGUGCAUUCUGGUCAAGAUGUUCUCCGACUUGGAAGAGAUGAAAGUCUUGAUCUAAGCAUAACCCAUGGUAGGGUGGAUUAUAGGUUUCCAUCCAGUUAUGAGAGAUGCCACUACAUGUAUUUUAUCCACGAUGGACCAGAUGUAUGUACUAUUGUACUAUUUAAUUCUAACUUUAUGUUUUGUUUUUCGAUCUUAAUAUCUUGUUAGUAUAAAUUAUAAUGUUUGUUAUUGUCACUAUGUUGUAGUUAGUUCAUGAUGACGGAGGCCCUGUCAUUGACAUAGAAGGGAAGGUUGUGGGAAUGGUUCACAAUCAAUCCGUAGAGUCGUUUUUACCUUCUUCUAUAUUGCACAAGUGCUUGGAUUUGUGGAGGAAGUUGAAGUACGAUCUUUAUUGUCAAUUCAUUUUUCUACUGCUUUUGAUUACACUAACGCAUUCUCUUAUAUAUGUUACCUCAUUCAUUGCAAUUGAACAACUACAAAAUUAUGUUUAGAUUGUGAUUGCUUAGCAAUUGUUACGUUUGAAUGAAUUGCUAAAUUGUGAUUUAGAAGAAUCAUUACGUGAGGCCUAGGUGCCAAAAUGUGUGUAAGAUUAUAUAGAGAAAAUGUGUGUUGGUCACCUUAUCGAACUCUGCAUGUUUUCCAAACUAUUCCUAUCCAGUGUAGGAACUAAAUUUGGUGUAAAUAUUCAGUUUUUCUACUUGGUGAUCUAUUUGCCUGGCUUAAUCCUCUUUUGAGCACGGCAUGAACUAAUGUCUUGUUAUGGUAUUAAUUCUAUAAUAAGGUUCUUGCCUAAGUUUUGUGUGAUACUUAUUUGAUAUUGAUUCUAAUAAAAUAUGUUGUUUUAUUUAACAUAAGUCUGUAAAACGAUUACAGUCUUAAUGAUUAUAUUUUGUGUAGGUGCGUCCCUCGUCCCCACCCUGGAAUGACCUUUAUUUCCAUCAAGCUUCUAGAUCCUAUUUGUACCGAGAGGAUGAGGCGUAAGCAUAACAUUCAGUCUGGUCUUAUUGUUGAAGCGGUAAUGUUUAACAUUAUUUAUUUUUACAUUGUUAUUAGUUUUCCCUAAAAAAAAUCCUCAUAUGCAAAUUCUGGUUUAAUCAUGAUCAAUUAAAUAUUAGGUGUCAAAAGAAUCGAAUGCUGAGAAACUUGGAAUCCGCAGGGGUGAUAUUAUUGAAAGUUUCAACGGAGUGUAUAUUUCUACUACAAUUGAGGUAGGUAGUAAAUUGGAAAAGGAGUAUAUAUAUAGGCAGGGAAUGGAGAGUAUAUUCCUACUACACUUUAUGCUCUUGGCUUUUGUAACUUGUCAGUUGGAAAAGAUGUUGCUGGACAUAGGCGGGGACCAUUUUCAUCAAGCAAAAGUCUUAGAUGCCGAAGUAGAUAUUCGAGUAAGUUACUAUUAUGUUUUAACUAUGGAUUACUUAAAUUUAUGUCGACCAUAGCACUUUGAAAUAAUAUUGUUGACUUUACAGAUUCAAAUAUUUCGUGCCACGGAACUUUGCCGAAGAGCCAGAAACUUGACUGUAAUUGUAUCUGAUUGUGGAGAAGACAUCAUAGAAGGUAAACAUCUUUUUUAACGUAGCAGUUGAUUUUUGCUGUGAAUCUUAAGUUAUCGUAUUUCCCUCUUGUGUAGAUUCAAUCUAUCUUGUUCACCAAUUGCCCUGAGCCUUUAUUUUAUAUGUGGUGUGUUUAAUCGAACCUUGAUGUUUUUUAUUUGUGUAGGCACUUACCCUAUCACUGUUGGCUUUGGAAAAGCGAUCAACUGAUUCUUUCAUGGAGCCAAUGGCACUUGCCCUAUCCAUGGUGGUGGCAGUACCACUGAUUGGGUAAGUGCCAAAGGCCCUCGACAACCAGAGCCUGUCGCUGUCUGCCGUCAUCGAUGACCGGGCCCUGCCGCUGUCUGCCUGUCUUUGUAUGCUGCUACCAGUGAACUUCGUGCUGCUAUUUUGCUGUCUUCGUAUGCUGCUGCUGCCACUGAACUGAACUUUAAUGUAUGGUUGCGUUGCUUAUGUGGACUUGCGUGCUUAUGUGGACUUAAUUUCGCUUUUCUGAAACUUCAGAACUUGUGAGUUCAGAAUUGAGUAUUAUAGAUGAGUUAUGUUAAUUGUCACCUGUUUUGCGUUGUUAUGCUGUUGAAAUUUCUGCUGAAUAUGUCUACUGUGUAUGUGCUUAACAGAAAUUUCAGUAUAAACUGAAAACCGGAACCGAAUCUUUGGCUUUGCUGAUUCAGUAACCAAUUUCAGGUACCUGUGCUGCUAACCGUAAUAAGAAAAAACAGAAUUUUCGGUUUUAACCGAAUGCCCAGCCCUACCGGUGGGGCUGAUAUUUAUAGGCUAGGUGUCCAUAACCAAUGACCAUGGCUACCAUUGGUGGUGGAGAAAAGGGAGGACAAAAUGAGAAAAAAAAAUCUUGGUCCAUUGCUUUAUGGUGCACUAAGUGGGAAAAGAGGGCAUUUGCCUCAUCCUUCCAUUUAGGGUGGGCGUAAAAAACCGGAACCAAAAACUGAAUCAGAAUUAAUCGGAACCGAAACUGAAUUAAUCGAAACCAAAUUAACCGAUAAUAAAUUUGGUGGCUAAGUGUGAUUCGGUUAUUAACCUCGUUUGACGGAAUAAACCGGAUUAAUGAAAAGUAAUCUAAAACAUACGCAGUUACACAUUGCAUGAAGUGAUUCUGAAUUUUGAUCUAACUUAAAUUUUGAUCUAACUUCAAGGCUGCACGACCUUCGGUUAUGUCAAUGUUUUUUUAUGAGACUUCGAGCCAUAGUCUUCAAUUAUUCUAUCAUUUUAAUUGACUUCAGUGGAUUUAUAAUGAUUUCGUAAUUCUCUAAAUUUAACUCUCAACAAAGCUAAAAGAAAACUCUGCAAAACAGAUUUGUUUGUUUUUAGUGUUUUCAACUUUCUGGUACCAACUAGAGGUUUCUCGGCAAAUACUCCUACACCGGUCCGGUGCCCUUCCAUUUCACGCAACAUCGUUGUCACUUGUCACCGGCGUGAAAUUAGCCGUGUGCGUGCCGCGUGCGACAUCUGAAAGCUGCUUAUUAGCUGCUUAUUACUACUCCGUGUACGUUUAGUGGACGUGGGAUGAAUAUGUUGGUGUCUUUAUAAGUACCAGAGAUAGAGAUAAAAUUUAAAAAACUCGACAAAUCCCCGGUGCAUCUCUCUGCAGCUCGCAACGGGCCAACGAGAAGAGGAUUCACGGCGGAGGCAAAGAGGAAAGAGACAGCGUGACGUGGCAUCUCCAAGGCGCUCUGCCUUCCUGACAUGUCAUCCCUGACGUGCGGGCCCGGGACCUCAGCCUGUCCACGUUGAUCCGUCAGCGCAUCAGCGGUUCGUGACUCGCCUUCCUCCGUCCUUCAGCGCGGAUCGACCGGGACUCCUCUGUUUCCCCCCAAAUCUUCUCGUCUUCUUCUUCCACCGCUCGUUUCUCCAGGAACCUUCCAGAAGCUUCUCGAACCGACAGGCCGUGUGGUGCGGGUCUCUAUCUCUAUCCUCCCUCGGGUUCUAAUCGCUGUCGAUUUGUCUCCCAGGCGUGAUAGCAUUCGCUGUUUUCUUGAUGUCGUAGUUGCGAGGGGGGCGCAGAUCCAGGGUUUCCUCCUGCCAUGGUGAAGGAAACCGCCUACUACGACACCCUGGGGGUCAGCGUCGACGCUUCCCCCGCCGAUAUCAAGAAGGCCUACUACGUCAAGGUGAUUGAUGGACGGACGGAUGAAUGAUUCCUUUGUUGCGUCCUUGAGUCUUCAGCGCUAUUGGGCUAUCUCUGUGCGCUAAAUUGGUUGUGUUUUUCAGGCGAAGCUGGUGCAUCCGGACAAGAAUCCUCGGAACCCCGACGCGGCGGUGAAACUUCAGGUGGGUUUUGUUUUGGUGCCUAACUGCAUGCCUUAUAUUGACGCUGUGUCAGUUUUGUUGUGGACGAGCAGAAUUGUGUGGCCAUAAAAGUCCGUUGUUAUAGAAUUCAUGUAGCUAAACUGUGUGGUUUGGAUCUAGGUGUGAGCUAAAAUAUGAGUUAGGAAAAGAAGAGUUUGGCUGUGGCAGCAUCUUACGUCAGCAUAGUUUGAUCGAUUAGCAACUGGUGUGAUGUUCAGUGCCCGUAUAUUCUGCAUAUGUAUUUCAUUUUGACCAUGCCUUGUUAAUGAUAGGAUGGUCCCUUGCUGAGUAGCGCUUCUAUGCUCAUGGAUGUAAAUGCGGAAUCUAUUAACUGUAAUGCUUAUAUGGCAUCAAAUGUCUCUUUAAAUGAUAUCCCCGAUGCGCAGAUCAUUGAGUUAAAGCUUGCUAUUAACAGGAACUCGGGGAGGCCUACCAAGUUCUAAGUGAUCCAGCUAAAAAGGAGGCUUAUGAUAAGCAUGGAAAGGACGGUCUUGCCCAGUAAGUCAUGUAUUUAUUGAGUUAUAUGCUUUAUUAAACAGUAGGUAUUUUUCUCAAUACAAUGUUAGCAGACCUUUCCAGGAUUGUUCUGAUUAAGCUAGCUGUCUGGGAGCAUAGAGUGGGGUGAUUUAGUGGAUUGUUGAUGUAGAGAGAAAGAGGAGGGCACAACAAGAAAAAGGCUUGAGGGGAACUACAGGGGGUGAAAAUGGGGGUCAAGUUAAGAUAGCCUCUCGAAUUUAUGGAUGGAUAGACAUUAUAGCAACUAAGUAGCUAUUUAUAAUAAGUACCUGUUGGGGGACAUAAAAGUAACUACUCUCGAGACAGCCGAUUAAAAACUCCAUUCAAGAUUCUACUUAUAUCUUUAUGCAGAAAUAAAAUGCUAAUUGGCUUCCUUGCUUUGUGGUUAUCUUCUUACUUGCUUAAUCAAUGUUGUCAGGGAUAACAUGGUAGAUCCAGCUGCUGUCUUUGGGAUACUUUUUGGAAGCGAUUAUUUUGAAGAUUAUGUUGGUCAGCUUGCUCUGGCAUCCAUAGCUUCAGUGGAGAUUGAUGAAGGCUCAAGUAAUCAAGAGGCCAGAGCAAAAGUUCAAGAGAAGAUAAAAGUAUGCUGCUUCUGCUUAAUCCAUUGCGCUGAAAUAUAAUCUAGUCUAGGUUCUGCCAUGUUGAUAAAAGUAUGCUGCUUCUGCUUAAUCCAUUGCGCUGAAACAUCGCACCCGGCGGAGCUUCCCGUUACUCCUGCGCGGAACCCUAGAUCGGUAGGGGGUGUUCGGUGGGGUGUGCGGCACAGCGACGAACCUUGUGUUGCGUGCCGCCGGCCCCCACCUCUUUAUAUUGCGCAGUGUAACAGGGGCCCGCCAACCAUAUUGGGUUGGGCGCCCCCGAUCAGGGCGCUGUAGAUCUAAGGGCCCGGUGGGCCGUUGGGCCCACACGGGUGGAGAUCAUACUAAUUUGAUUUCGCUCAAACCAAAUUUGCCACCAGCCAAGCAUGAUAUCAGUUCUCAGCCGGGUGCGAUGUUUGGCGGACUGGCAGCGAACAUCUUCAUCAGUCCACCAAUCGAGAGGAUGGAACGCCCGGCUAGGUUUGGUUUCUAGUUUUAGUCGUGGUGUUUGAUCUUGUAAUUGCCUAGCUGUAGCUUUUUGCUUCCUGGUUGCUCUCUUUCCUUCUUAAGUAAUGAAAAGCAGCGCUGCUGCAUUUUUGUCAAAAAAAAAGUUACUUCAGUGUGCAAGGGGAGGGCGCGGUCUCUGCCGAGCGACCCAGGGAGAUCGUAGCAUGCAUGGGCGUGCCUUUAACACUCAUAGCAGUUAAAAAUACAAGGUGAGAUGAGGAUAAUCAUAGCAGUUUAAAUGUUUAAUACAUAGCUGCAUCCACAAAGGGAUAUGAAUUACGAAAUGCUUUCGAACCAAAAAGGAAACCUUUAUCCGUACCCGGUAGCUAAAAAUAAAACAGUACAUGACUAAAUGUGAGUUUCAGGAGUAACCCAUCCCUUCAUAUGAAAAUGGCCCAUAGAUUUUGGCAACAAGUAAUUAUGUAUUAUCUUCCUCCAGAAAGACCAGUCAUGGUCGUCGCCACAGAAGCGCAUGACAGGAUAUGCAUCAUAUGCUGAUCGAAGUCUUCAUCCCGGGUAGUAAGGCUUAAAAAGCUUGCUUGGAAAUCUGGGAGUGACACAUCCUUUACAAGGUAUUGCAUAACUAGGCGCAUGCAUGGCCUAGCACUGUGUACUGAGUGUGAGCAUAGCAGGCCAAGCUUUAGUACUAAAUCUGCCUCCUCCUUGACAUAAUCUUGUAAUUUUGGGUCUACUGUUUUGAGUAUUGAACCGCUCUCCCAUGCAUCGAUCACCCAAUCUGUCAGCAGCACUGGCUCGCCAGAAUUAUUCACUUCUAUUGGGUGCCUUCCACAGGCAACCUCCAACAUGAACACCCCGAAUGCAAAAAUAUCAGUUGCCUUCGUUGCUCUUCCUAGCCUGGCUAGCUCAGGAGCAAUGUAACCCCAGGUGCCGGCCAAAUGCGUGGUGUGGGCGUCUGUUCCAUGGUUGUGCAAUCUCGCAAGGCCGAAAUCACCAAGUCUUCCAUUCAUUUUGUUAUCCAGGAGAACAUUGCUCGUCUUGAUGUCUCGAUGGAUCACAACUUUCUCCCAAUCCUCAUGGAGAUAGAGAAGACCAGAUGCAAUACCUUUUAUAAUGUUAAAUCUAUGUAUCCAAUCUAUAGUCCGGUUACCUUGACCAUGCAAAACUCUGUCAAGACUACCAUUUGGCAUGUAAUCAUAAACUAUAAGAAGUUCAUUUUUGUGACGACAAUAACCGAGUAACUGGACAAGAUUGCGAUGGCGGAGAUGACCGAGAAUAGUAAUCUCAGCUAUAAAUUCCUUCAUCCCUUGCUUUGAAUCUGGUGAAAUCCGCUUGAUCGCAACAUUUUUCUUGGAGGUUUGUAGAGUCCCUUUGUAAACCUUUCCAAAUCCACCUUUACCGAGUAGCAUCCUGUUUUUGAAACCGUUAGUUGCGGUCACGAGAUCUUUAUAUGUGAAAGACGGAGACCCACAAUCGAUUUCCCACUCACCACUUUUCCUUGCCUUCUUCAUAUAAAUAUACAGGGCAAUAAGCAUAACAAGCACGAUGAACACUGACAUGAUAAUAAUCGGUAAAAGAAUGUGACUGGAGGUAUCUGAUUGACUUUCUGCUUCCCUACGAACAUCGUCUAUAACUUCAGACAACACUGAGUAGUCAAGUGGUGUAGCCGCACCGUUUGGAUUGAAACUCCAGCCGAUAAUUUGGUGUAUGGACCAUAGGCGGGUUGCAGAAGCAAAGCCAACAUAGACUGACCUUGGCAACACGGAUGUGAGAUUAACAAUGCUUGAUAGCAGUGGGCGUUCAGGCUUCGGCUCUAAGUAAGGUGCUAGACUGACAUUCACGUGGCGUGAAUUGGCAUCAUAGUCAACCCAUACUUGCAUCGGUUCACCGCUAAUGAGUCUCAAGGUAGUGAACUUGCCAUCUGAGGUGUAGUAACCAGCAGUAUGUGAAUUGAUAGAUAACAAGUUGUUUACAUCGAUUCCAACAUGGUUACUAUCAAUAUCCCUGAAUUCCCUAUUAAACAAGGUAUCAAGCUCAAUAGCAAAGAGUUGGUUUGUUGUAUUACCGAGGUUUUCGUUGUUGAACAUUCCCAAGUACUGAGAUGGGAGGGUAUCCAACAAAGAGUCCGUCGUGGCAGAAAGUGUAAACGCAAGCCCAUAACCGCUAGAAUCACUGUACGGACCACUGGUGAUGACAAACACGAAGGUUGUCGAGAAUGAGGAAAUAGAGUUCAACCGGCCUCCAUAGAAAGCGCGCCCAACCCCCUUGUAAGUGCCAUCGGUUAGCUUGAGAGCUUUGCUUGUGAUUGAAGCUACACCAUCAAGCCGGAGCAUGCUAGAAGAGAAACCGUUGUAGGUGAAGCCAUCGUUGGUGUAGGAAGCAGAGGUGGCGGGGAGGAGGAAGAAGACACAUAGUAGUAGGGACCGUGGCAGCAUGGUGCAAUACUGCAAUUAACAAGGCACCUUUCUCUCAGGGAUGGGUUAUGAAAAUAAGUAUGAAAUAUAGUACUGAAGCAUGCGCCAAACAAAAGCAAGUCCGCAUCCUCCAUUCAAAGUUUGAUAUUUGGUCAAUAUUCUCGGUCAUACCGAGAAAAAGAAGGCCAAUUGAUAGGUACAGCACAGCACUAAAGCACAACUAACGUAUCAAGAAUGACACUGCAUAUGGUUGACUGACUUCUCUUUUCCUAAGCACGAGGGCAUAAAUUAAUUGCUACUGCAUUCUGGAACAAAUUAAGCUACAUUUUGUUUCUCCCGAUGCAUCAAAUAAAAUGUUAGAAAUUACUCUCUCCAUUCUAAAAUGUAGGGCAUACAAAUUUUGUUGACUGUCAAACUUUAUAAAUUUUGACACCAUGAAAAUAUAUUUCCUAAUGGAUAUGAUGAUACUUAUCUGGCACCAUAAUUAUUGAUAGUUUUGGUUACUAGUACAAUGCCCGUGCGUUGCCACGGCCUCUCAAACACAUGCACACGAAAACUGUUAGACUGAUUAGGCAAGCAUCGUUGAUGGCUGUUCAUGUAUGUGCCGGAUUGAGAGCUGCACGUGUGUUGAGACAUCGCACUUGGGACAAGACAAUAGCACUAAACAGUUUGAUGUAUUGGGACAUCGCACUUGGGACAAGACAAUAACAGUAUUAUUUAGUUCAUCUGGCAACUCACCACCAACCAAAAACUCCAGUACCACAUGUACUAUAAGAUGAGUUUAACUAACUUCCAAUGCUGUGGCUGUAAAACAAUCAACGCCGCGCAUCUUGAGGGUGCUGCAUCUGAAAGAGUGCAUCAUGCACCUCCUCGGCAGUAAUAGGUCUGCCCGUGGGGUGCUCGGCAAAAAAAUGUUAUGUCCAAUAUAUAGGUGAGAAGCGACCAGAACUAGAAAUAAAAAACAUCCCACCAUGAUUUAGCAGGCCUGCAGUUUAGAAAUCAAUACGGCCCACCACCCACAUCCCAUUGUAUGCAACAAUUAGAAGAAUCAAGGCCUGCUUUUUGGCCCCCUAUGGGGGCGCCCACUUUGUCAGCUUAUCAACGGGCCUGGGUGCGGGACUUGGUGAAAUUUAACCAAGCCCCCGUACCGCGCGUCGAACCCUAAGCUGAGCAACAUCAACGCGAAUCACCCGCUGCCACCGUUGCCACUCACUCCCCCACCUCGUAUUCGCCGGCGCCAUCCUUCGACCCUCCUCCGCCACCGCCGCCCCUCGCUUCCCCCACCUCGUAUUCACCAGCUCCACCCUUCGCGCCUACGCCUCCUAUUCUCCGACCGCCACCUCCUUGCCGCCGUGCGGCACUGUUCGGGACGCCGCACCGCCCCGUCCUAGCCACCCCUUCAUCGGCCAUCGCUCCUCCUCUUCGGUAGACCACGGGUAUCCCUGCUCCCUUCUUAGUACUAUUUAUGGGUUUUGUUGGAUCCAUGUCAUGUGUAUGGGUUAACUAGAUGCCAUGUCCUACCCCAUUGUGUAUGUCGUUGUCGCCCUAUUUUGUUGUCUAGAUGGAUGCGGUGGCGAUGCUACAUUGUGUAUGCCCCCAUUGUGUUCUCAUGUGUAUGGGUUAAUUAGAUACCAUGUACUGCCCCAAAGUGUAUAUAUCCAUCGCCCCCAUUGUGUUGUCGUGUAUGGGUUAAUUAGAUGCCAUGUACUGCCCCGUUGUCAUGUGUAUUGCCUCUGCUCCCCUUUUUGUUUUUGCUAAAGUAGACCGGAUCGGAUGCUAUAUGUACGUGGACUGCCCAUUGUGUUGUGAUCGAUCGAUGUUGUCAACUGUAUAGCACGCGAAUUGGCAUUGUUGCAUUGUGUUGCGCUCGAUCGAUGUUGCCAACCGUAUAGCACACACUCAUCAACGUUGCCCCAUUGUAGUGCCUAAUUUCAAAUGAAUUGGCUGUUGUAUAUAUAAAUUAUACUUUGAUGAAUAUGCUACUCCCUCCGGCCGGUAUUAGUUGUCUCAAACUUGCCCAAAUAUGGAUUUAUCUACGUGUAAAAAGCGUCUAGAUACAUGUAAUAUUUCGACAAGUAAUUCCGGCCGGAGGGAGUAGUUGUUUAUUAUUUUUAGUAAUUACCCUAGCUAGCUUGUGGCUUUUUGCAUGGAUCUGUAAACUAUGUGCCAGAAGUUUACAAUAAACGAUACCCUAGCUAGCUUGUGGCAUUGUGGCCUUAUAGUGUGUUAAGAGCAAGGACAAUAGUACAACAUGUUGUGCCUGCUAUUAGCUAAUGUCAUGUCAUCUAUAGUCAGUACACAGUAGCCAACAUGUGUAGUAGUUAGCUAUAAGGAAAACAACUUUGUUAAUUAUUGCUCACAUCCAUUCUCACAGGGAGCCUAGGAACACGUGAUGCAGCUGCAUGUUACUUAACAAUCAGCUUCUCUCCUCUCUCCUCUUCUCUUUCCUCCAACUCAACAAAAAUAUAAUAUUUAAAGUCUUACAACCCGUCUAUAUCACUCUAUUGUACUUGCUCUAAUUGGAAGAGAGAUGACCAACGACCUGAUUGUGUGAAUUUGUCACCCCCUAAUAACCUACAAUUUUAUGAUGAUAUAUAUUAUUGAUGUUAUUUAUGCUUUCUAUAUCCCAUAAAAAAUGCAUGUGCAAUAGGUGUUGAUGCCGAACACCAAUUAUAUAUUGGUUUCUAUGUGCCAUAAAUAAAGUAAUAUUAUGGUUUAUGUUAUUAUCUUUUGUAGUAUGAACGUCUAACAUAAAUAACGUUGUAUUUAUGAAACAAUUUUCCAGGACUGUCUGAAAGACAUUUGUACCUUGUGCUCUACUACAGCUAGGAAUAUUGGAGAUGUCAGCCAUGAAUGCUCGUACAAAAUCUCUUAGUGCUGAUGGAAAGUCAUCUACCAUUGGUUAUAGUUUAGAUGCUGGAUUUGCAUUGCUUCAAGGUAAAAAAAAAUCCUUCGUGAUGCAAGAUUACGAGAUUAUCGUGGGACAUAAUACAGGGAAAUGGAAGGUAGACUUCGAUCUCACUACUAUUGGAGGAAGCAAGAAAAAUAUUUCCCCCCAUCAUGCACGUAUAUUUUUUGAUUUCAAAAACCACCACUUUUCCCUUCAAGUUCUUAGCAUGAAGGGAUGCACCAUUCAAGGUGUCUUUUCCCUUCCUGAUAAGGAUCCCAUUAAACUAAAGUCUCAGGAUCUCAUCGAGAUUGGAGACGCAAAGUUCUAUUUUCUCCUACCAAGUUGUUCCAUCUCUGAUAGUUUUUGUGCUUGGCGCACUCAAACUCUAUCACAACCUUUGUCUUCCUCCUCUUUGCCACCUUCCUACCCCUUUUCAAUUAAUUUUCGUGGAUCCUCCUGCGUUAUUGGUUCUCCCUCGGAUGUUGCUGGGCAUACACAUAUUCCAUCACACCCUGGCCAUCCUCAUUUGUCUGAUCUUUGUGGCAAUUCUUGUGGUCAUGGAUGGGUCGAUGGUGACCAUGGAAUUACAGUUGGGACUGAAACUCAAGGAACAUCUAUGGCGCAAAGCAAGAGGUCUUCCGAUGAGCUGGACACGAAUUGCGGUCCAAUCAAUAUUGAACCACUUGGUGAACAUGGUAUGUUAUCUUUGUCACAUGCUUAAGCUAGAUCAUUCUUCCCGGCCGGUUUUAUUUUUUCUUCACUUUUAUAUACUAAAAUUAACAAACAAAAUGUUACUUGGUUAUAAUACUAAUGUACUACCCUUUCCCAUAGACUUGUUUUUGUGUUACAACUAUUUACCACUGUAGCAGAGGAUGGCUUUUAGGAUUUACGUAUAUUUAAAGAAAUGAAUGGUUAAAUAUUAUUUUCCUAGCUUUGUGUCCCAAUCUCCAGUAGACGGGUACCCAUGGACACAUGGAUGGGUCAAGCUUGUGUCUCUCAAUAUACAUAUUGCACAGGAAAUAUACUAUACUAAGUUUGCUAUCAUAUACAGAAAACUAUAUUUAAAAUCUGACAUUAAAUUUAUUAAUUUCCCACAACCCAUUUGAAGAAAAAAGACUGGGCCAGCAUCAAUCAUACGUCAAAACGGCCGGGAACCAUAAGCAUGCAGUUAGGAGGUAAUUCGUAUAUGAUUUAUUACUGCAAUAAUCUGCAACUAAGAGGUAAACUCCAAGGUCCCAACUUUAAUCAUGAGUUGUUGAUGAGAGAUUAGUACAAGGUUCAAAUCAGAGUUAUCUCACAACAACUCAUAAUUUUACAAUUAUAUAGAUGUAAAUAUAGGUAUAGAUAUGGAUAAACAAAGGGUGACAAAUCCUUCCUUAUUCCUGAAAAUUGUUGUUAUGCUGAAACAAGAUUCAAAACUAAAUACAAUGUCAAUGGUUUUUACCCAUUCUUAUUAGCAACACCAAUCUCAUGCUCUUCAGAAACCAUGAUGAUUUGAUUAUUACUCGCAUCUAUGUACUAUAACUUGGUUAUUCUAUUUAUGCAGCCAAGAAAGUUGUUGAAGAGGCGGACAAGGAUAUAGAUAACGAACAACUCUGUGUAACAGAUGAGAAAGAUCUUAUCUCAUGUCAUAACCCUGGGAGCAAACAACUGCAAACCUGGAGAAUGGAUGCCUAUGAAAAAACUCCAUGCAAAGGUUUGUUAUGCAAGAUUAUUCAUUUUGUUCUGUUUCUAGAAUUACAAAGAUUAGUCCAACCACCUUGAUUAACAACACUGAUAUGUUUUAGAGAAAGCAUACAUAGGUCAGUAAUACUUUAAUUUUUAAUUAAUAAAUUGUGUGUUAAGUUAUGAUAAAUUGCAAGCUUUUAAGUAACAGAGCGACACCUUAGAAUCACUGAACGAAAUAGCAAUACUUCCAUUUGAAGAUGUGAUUUGCUCAUGUCAAUAGGACAACCUUUACACGUUCCACCUGGAAAGAACAAUAAUAAUUUUUUAUUGCCUUUUUGUUAUUUCUGCGUUGAGAUUCCUACAAUAUAGUUGGGCUCAUUAAGAAUCACAUGAUCCUUCAAGAACCUUGUUUAAUUUGUAGGUGCUGCAAUAAUUUUGCAGUUAAAAAUGACCUAAAUUCUAAACGCUUGAUAUGUCAAUGUACCUAAAUUCACAUUUAGAUGUUUCCCUUUGAUUAUUGGUAGAUGUGCAUAUUUCAUCACUUAACUGCUUUUCACUUGGUAUCUCCUUUGAGAGUCCUACGAUCAUUACAGUGUCAUGUCACAUAAAUCAUGACAUUAUGACAAACUCUCAAUUUUUUUUUGGAAAUUUCGUUGUUUCUCUUGAUAGAAUCGGUGAGUUAAUUUGUCGGUUUUAACAUGCAAAGUGGUUUGAAGUCCAAGAAUUACGCCUUCCACUCGCUGUUACUGAAUAUCAAUUAUUUUUCAUAAGCAAAUUAUCAAAUUUAGGAUUUGUCCACGCCAUCAUUAGUUAGAUAUCUUUAUCAGUCUAGCUUGAUGACAAACCGUGACUACAUCCUACAAUAUGGUGAUGAUAUGCUUGUUUCACAUAGUAUAUAUCACCACACUUUUUGAUCUGCUAUGGAUUGUGCGUGCGUGCUGUGAACUUGUUUGUCAUGUAAACUAAUUCUUGAUUAUUUCACAGCUUAUUAAACACUUUAGUAAGAUAUGGCCUAGUUGGAAGGUCCAAAAGUACCUAGCAUUUAGGCCUGGCUAACGAGCGCGCUCGGUUCGUCAAGAGCUCGGUUCGUUAAGCUCGGUUCGUUAAGAGCUCGGAUCGUUAAGAUCGUUAACCUUAACGAUCUCAAACAAUAGUUCGGCUCGGUUCGAUAAAACCUCGCGAGCGCUCGUUAAGAUCGUUAAAAACUCUUUAACAGAAAUAGCUCAAAAGCUAGCUGAUCUAAAAAAUUUGGCAUGACCUAUUUGCUUGGGGUAAAUUCUGACAGCAAACAAAUUAUAUCAAACUGACAAUUAGGUGACAGUGCUAUAGAGAUUGAAAAUAACACAUCAGAUGAGCAGUUCAAGUGUUCAACACAAGACAGUAGCAAAAUAAGGGCCUAUUCCAGAGUCCAGACUUCCAUUCCAGUCACACAAAAAUCAAGAUAGGCUCACAGUCUCACUCACAGACUUCCAAAAUAAGAACUAGCAGCUAGGCCCAACCAAAUAACAGCAGAAUGCGCAUAGGUGGCACAGCGGCACAAACUAGCGGUGCAAUGCAUAGAUAAUAAGCAAUAACGACAACAUCGAAAUAACAGCAGCAUGCACACAACAGUUGCAAGUCUUGCAUAGUUGCAUUCAGGCAGCAGCAAACAAGUAGCAGCCCAUUGUACAUCAUCGUCGGUCUUUAGCUGCUUUCAACAUUAGCAACAUCUUCAGGAAAUGGUACAAACUCCACAUCAUCCUCAAUAUCAGGUUCCUGAAAAACAAAAUGGUUAGAUAUCUUUAUCGGUCUAGCUUGAUGACAAACCGUGACAACAUCCUACAAUAUGGUGAUGAUAUGCUUGUUUCACAUAGUAUAUAUCACCACGCUUUUGGAUCUGCUAUGGAUUGUGUGAGCGUGCUGUGAACUUGUUUGUCAUGUAAACUAAUUCUUGAUUAUUUCACAGCUUACUAAACACUUUAGUAAGAUAUGGCCUAGUUGGAAGGUCCAAAAGUACCUAGCACCAGAGGAUGGCUCAUCAACUGGAACGCUAGGCAAGCCAUGGCAGAACCUGUUGGAGCUGCUCUUGAAGCACCCAGAGCAUUUUGUCACCAACACAAUAUGCAGAGGUACAACGUCAGAGUUUGUUUCGCUAGCCUCCUUGCUAGACACUGUUUUCCUGACAUGAUGUUGCUCAAGUCAUCAUCAGUCCAUGGUCAAAACAAAACAAAACAAAAAGACUUGUCCUUGUUUGUAUCCCCUGCUCAUGUUGUAAACAUGUACAUCUUUGCGGUAUCUUUUAUCCUUAGUUUUUAUGUACUAUGGUACUAUUUGGGAGAGUUUUUAAAAUCUGGAUUUGGUAUUAACCGUAGGCCUAUUAUCUUUGUUGUUUGUCGUUUUCGUUUCCUGAGUUGCAAUGAACAAGGUUGCAUUGUUUCAUGUUUCACAAAUUUACAUGAUUGCUUCUAAUAGCAUUUUAUUUUUAAUACUAGAGCAUGAUUUUAAUUUCAAUUGGUGCCUGAAUGGAAGCUUUAACAUCUUGAUGAGUAACUUCUUCAUGUGUUUUGGUUCUGCAAAAGGCCACCGAAUAGCUUGGUUUCUUCAUGGAACUAAAUCACUAUUACGGCUUGAUGAAAAUGUUUGAGCAAUUUCUUUUGAACUUCUUCUAUGUCGAGACAUCGAAACAUGUGGAUAGACUGAACCACACUAAAGACAUAAAGGAGCAAGUUUAAUUUGGUCCAAAUUCAGUGUCUAUCUUGUUGUUGCGCAAAACACUCACUAUUCGUCUUUUUUGCGCAAAACACCUACUAUUUGACUAAUCGGUUGCAAAUAAGUCAUAACCCUAAUUUCAGCACGCUAAUGACGAUUCUGACCGGUGGGGCCACCCGUCAGUGCCAACAUGGCGGUCUGGCCUUGCCAACGUGGAUCGAGCCGGCGUGGCGGUGGCGCGCCCAGAGCGGCAGGGCAACGGCGUGCGGCCGGGCGCACCCAGCGGCGACGGCGCACUUGGUCGCAUUGGCGGCCGCCUUGCUCGCGCCAGAGGCGGCGGCCCGCGCACCAGGCAGUCGCAGCGGCACCCUGCGCAUGAUGCGGAGGCGGCUCGUGCUCGUGAGACGCGGUCGGCAGCUAGGACGGCGGCGCACGCACCCAAGGCCACGGCGGCGUCCGUGCGAUCGAGCGGCAAGGGACGCACGGCCCGAGCGCUACGUGCAGUGGCUCGGGAAGGCGAACGGCGAAGCACCGAACCCGACCUGAUCCACGCCGGCAAGGCCAAGGCACCAUGUUAGCACUGACGGGUGGGCCCCAUCGGUCAGAAUCAUCGUUAGCGCGUUGAAACUCGCUUUAGGACUUAUUUGCAAGCCGAAUAGUAGGUGUUUUGCGCAAAAAAGACGAAUAAUGGGUGUUCUCCGCAACAACUGGACCAAUGUUGAGUGUUAUGUGCAAUUUUGUGCAAUUUCCUCGUCGGAAACCGCUUACUACCAAAUUCGGCAUGUCCAUAUAGUGCCCUUGUACUAGCUGUUCUUCGCCCUAAUGCUGGGGUGUACUGAAAGCACCGUCAGUUCAAUUUGUUGACUCCGCAGCCGGCUUUCUUGCCGACUCCACGACGAAACCUCCUUCUUCCAGGACUAGGAGGCGGUCGAGGGGCACCAACGCCCGCUCUCGUUUCCUCUACUUCUUCUUCGUCGUCGGUGAUCUCCAUCUCCACAUACCCCUUCCGUUCAUACUCCUCACGGAUCCUGUAAUAGUCCAGGUCGGCCAACGCUUCCUCCUCGUAUUUCUCGAUCAGGUCAUCCGUGGUGGCCGCGAUCUGCUUCAUGCCCUCCAGCGUGAACCCUUGCUCGGCGAGGUACUCGUCCGAGUCACCGCCCGGGAUCCGGGCCAGCAGCCGAUCCAUGAACCCUAGAUCCAGCAGGCGUGUCGAGCGUCUUCUCGCAGGACAGCACGAAGUCGACGUAGGAUUGUGACAGGAUUACCUUCUUCUUCUCCUCCUCCUUCGAGAGCGGCGCCGCCGUCACUGCCUCCUGUGCGGGCGGCGUUGGAUCUACGGACGCCGCCGGUGUUGGAUCCAUGGCCGCCGGAGGAGCCUGCUUUGACGAACCAGACAUAUCGCUCCUCGCAGGAUUUCGCUAAAUUAAUGUUGGUUCUUCGAUUUGGAGCUCCAGGAAAUCGACUAGAACCCUUUACAACUCGGAAAUCGACAUGGGCACGAUUUGGUUUCAGUUUAUCGGAGUAGUUCGAUUUGAGCCCGAUAUUCUGUCCGGACCGGAUCCCUUUGUGACGCAAACUACCCACGGCCCAGCUGUAAAGGCAGCGGCCCAAUUCUGCAUCAUAUAUAGAGUUCUGCCUCGCCUCGGCCCAGUAAAGAGUGAAGGGUGAGUUGCUUGUUCUCUUUUUCUUUUUCUUUACCACAGAAUGAAUAGUGAGCUACUCUUGUAAAAAACGAAAUUGCGCUCUGAACCAACCGCAGCCAUUUUAGUGUCCACAGGGAGAGACUGAAAUAAUUAAUAACUUUACCUAGGAGAAGUUUCACGCCCAGAGCUAGCGGUAACAAAGAAAGGUGAUAACUCUCUUAUAAAAGAUAAAACAAGAAUAGAAAGACAUUAACGGUUAUUUAUUGAGGGGUUUUACGGUACAAUUUACUAAUUUCACGGGCAAGUAGUAAUUGUGAGGGCAUUUUGGGUAUCUGUCUUCCGAAAGUUUUAAUUUUAAUCUCGUCAUGUUACUAGUCCAGGUUAGGCAAAGGUCGUCACUUGCUCGCCACUCCGUACUGCACCUCCGACGGCGCCGCCCAUGCUCGCCAGUAUCCCUUGCCCUCCCGUCAGGCCGUCACCGCCUUCCACACCGGAGACAACAUACCUUGCCUAAGCCAUCCCUUUUCCCUCCAUCAUCUCCCUCCUCCCCACAUCAGGCAUUCAGUCUUGCCGAUCUCGUCGUCUCUGCAUAGCGGCUGCCGGCGACAACGACCCACCUAUGACUUCCCCUUCCGUCCCCCCAUCUCGAUCCCUCCUCUCUCUCUAUAUCAGGUGUCAGCAGGUUGUGAUCCUCUUCAGGCAGAUGCGUGUGUUAGGGUGAUGCUUCUGCUAGGAUUAACAUGCCAAAAAGUAUGCUUACAGCCCGUUUGAUAACCAUUGUUUCAUUUCAUUUGAUAGAAAUGCAAUGAAAUCCAUGUUUUGAUAGGAUUUCAUUUGGACGAAUUUGAAUUUCUUGUUUAAAAAUCAUGUUUAGCUACCACAUGAAUUUGUAGAGUAAGAGACAAUUUCAGAGAAAUAAUAGCUUUUGGAGAGAAAUUGGGGCUACUUAUAGUACAAUUUCAUGAAAUUUGAGAUUGAAUUCAUGUGGCCAAUUCUGCGCCAACCAAACAAGUUCGUUUCUGGAAUUCAAAAUGAAUCCAGAAUUCUAGUCCCAAAUGAUGGGUGCCAAACGGGCUGUUAAUGGAAUUCUGAAACGUACAGGCAGUGAUCCACGAGAAACUUUUACAAGAUCAGUUGAAGCAAUUUCCUUUUUGUAAUCUCUGUUUUGGAGGAUGCAAGGAACUGUUGAUAUGUCCUUCCCUGCACGCUGUUCCUCAUCCUCGCAUGUUACGGCAGCACCUGGAGCUCGCCGAGCUUAUUGCCUUAUAGCACGAGUGGCAAACUGGCAAUCAAGGCAGCCGCACCUUUCGAUCAUCUCACAUCGUUGAUGCCCCACUACUUCCGCACUGUUGCUUGCCGCCACCUGCCGCUCCUCUCUUCCCAGAGCCAGCGCAGGAGGGAAGAGGCAAUGGCCGGCGACCUAGGAUCGGCACCCUGCCGGAGGCGUGCAGUGCUGAGGAGAGAGAGAUCGAGGAGAAAGGAUAGAAAGUGGGGUAUGCAUUACAAUUUCUCAACACUCUCACUCAAUGAAUACUUGCCCGCCAAAUUAUCUAUUUUGAUGCCGUCCUUGGGAUUUUCUUAGAUCUACCAUUCCGUCCUUUCUUAAUUAUGUUCUUGAUGCAUAGAUCUCUUUUCAACCUCAUUGCAUCCUCCCGGCUCAGUUUUCUUCUUUGUCAUUCUCCAAACUUGCCACUUUGCGGCGCAGGCGGAGGAGAGGAACAAACAUGUCUCUCUAUGCCGGAUUUCGCUAAAUUAAUGUUGGUGUUUGUUGGUUCUUUGAUCUGGAGCGACCAGGCAUAAAGAAGCCUAGCUGAGGUACAGGUCGAACCCCUUAGAAUUCAGAAAGCGACAUGGGCUCGAUUUGAGUUCUGCCUCGGCCCAACAAAGAGGGGAUGGUGAGUUGUUUUUUCUGUUUUACAACAGAAUGAACAGUAAGCUACUCUAGUAAAAAAGGAACCAAACCAACCCCAGCCAUUUUAGUGUCCACAGAUAGAGAUCAAAGUAAUUAACAACUUUACCUAAGAGAGAAACGAUAGAAGUUAUUUCCUUGACACGAUUCUCUAGGAUGAAUGUGGCAGACUUGAAGAAACCAUUGUAGAGAAAAAAAAUUGCAUUAAUUUCAAAGCUAUGCGGUUGUGAUUAGGCCGUGAUUAACUGUCGCUUAGCGUUGUUACAGUUGUUUUGUUCACCAACUCUGGAUACAGAAGUACUGCUGCUAUUUUUUUUCUUUUUUUUUUGAGCAAUUUUUUUUCUUUUUUUUGAGAAACACAGAAGUAGUGCUGCUAUACAUGAGGCCCUGAUCCGAAGCCCGUUUUGGGGCCCAAAACUGGAGAGUAUUAAAUGGGCCUGAAAAUAUUUCGGGAAAAGGAAGAGAGGGCGACCAAGCCGCCGGCGACGGGAUUCUUCCAUCCCGAGCUCCAGUGGCGGCAUCGUCGACUCACCUCUUCUCCCCUCCGCCCUCCUCGCUACCAGCCCUCCUCCACUCUGCCCCCUCGCCGCUGCGAGUCCUAGAUCCGCCGUUGCAAUCCACCGCCGGUCAUUCUCGACGCGCGAUUCGCCUCAACAAUCCCCAAACCGUUCCAAGAUGCCGAAGGCCGGCAGGCGGCGCACGAGGGGGGAUCCGGGGACGGAGAGGGAGAGGGAAGCGAAGGAGAAGAAGAACAGAAACCUGGCAGAGGAUCGGACGGUGAUGUUCGCGGCC
Molecule: long non-coding RNA, 59092 nt
Filed under: Brachypodium distachyon (stiff brome)
Lineage: Eukaryota; Viridiplantae; Streptophyta; Magnoliopsida; Poales; Poaceae
Description: long non-coding RNA (BDIS_LNC001845)
Source: RNAcentral